UUGGCUAUAGCAAUUGGAAAAUAUAUACUUGUUUCACAGAAAACUUGAUCUUUAUUUUUAUUAAUCAGCAAACAAGAGGUGAUUGACCUUCACAAGUCCACUUUUGCUCAUUGACUUUUUAUGUUACAAGAUUGGGAAGGGAAUAUGAGCAUAUUCUUCUUGUCAUCUCAGGUAGCUUUUCUAUGAAAUCUUUCUUAAUUUUUGUUGACAAGAUUCAUUCCUUGCAAAAGUUUUUGGCAAAUCUCCAAUGCCUUCCAAAGUUGCUUUAGUUUCCCACAGGUUGCACACUUUGGAUAUGCAAAUACCUUUACAAAAAAUGACUUGUUUUUCAAGGAAUGGAAUAUAGACAUGUUCAGCCCAUCUUAACUUGCACCACAACCACAUACGAUGCUCACUCAAAAACUUUAAUUCUAUGUUUAAACCCACAAGAUUGGAAAAAAAAUAGGCCAGAAGAUGAAAUGAGUGAGAAAUGGAUUCAAGCCACUCCAAACCUACCUCUGAAACUAGUUACCAUUGCAAAUGAAUCAUAUCAGUGAUCAUCUUUCCAAAUUUAGAUAUGGUUGACUUAAAACAAAAGAAAUAAAGUAUGCCAGAUCAAUUAUCUGAAAUUUCUUUUGAAAAAAACAAAGACAGUAAAGCCAUAAAAAUUGGGUUUACCUGGUUGAGCAAGGAAAAUGCGCUUCGAACAGGAUAGUGGUCAUCCAUAAAACCCAGUGCACAAAGACCAUUUCUGUUGUAAGAAUGCACUUUAUAUUCUAUAUAAAAGCCACCAAAGAAUAUUCAGCAUUUACAAAAGAAAACAUCUUCACAAUAACAUAUCAAAACAUACAAAAGACUUUCCACAGGAAACAAAACUCCAGUGCCUACAAUUUAUAAUCAAUUCAAUUCUAAGAUAGCCAAUUAUGUUUUCUCAUAAAAAAUAAAAUAAAAUGAAGAAAUAUAACAUUUCCAAACCUAGUCGAAUCCAAAUCUCACCAGAUGAGAAAAUUAAAAGCCCUAUCAAUAGCUAUAAGAUAACAGAAUAUUUGAAACAAUCGAUUGCUUUUUAAAUGAUCCAAAUCAUUCAACCUAUAUUGGACGAUCCGUGAGAGAAAACUUCACGCCCAUAUUUUAAAAGAAAAAAAAAAGAAAAAGAAAAAGAAAAAGCCCAAAAUUCACCCAAUAUAAUGUUUUCGAUUACACGAAAUCUCAAAAAUAUACAAAAAAAAAAAAAAAAAAAUUGACCUAUUCGUCCCCUGGUUCAUCGGAUUUAAGCUCCGAUCGCUGACCAACAAAUCGAGGGAACAAAAAAAAGCAGAGGAAAACGAAACCAAACUUCAUAUCUUUUCCAGUUAAAACGAGGAAAAAAAUUAAAAUUUUGAAAUUGUCGUUUUCAUUUGAUUUCCUAUAAGUUUGAUUUCUCGGUAACCAAACAGACAGAAUUAUGCAAAAUAAAGGAGCUGGAACCCUGAUUUAAGGGGAGAGAAGGAACCUUCGUGUUGGACGGAUUGGCGUUGAGAGGGAGGAGUCCUUUUGGCAACUGUCCGACCCACGAAAACGAUAAAUUCCUUGACGCUGGAUCUCUGAAAGUACCCGAAAUGGCCGACAUCGGAUGCGUUCGCCAGGAUUAUCGCGUCGGAUCCAUCCGGAUUGCAUUUCAAAACCAGAAGUGCCGUGAUCUUCAUCUUUAUCUCUCUUUCUCUCUCUAAAAAAACCCUCCCCCUCUCUCUCUCUCACUAUUGUUUCUGUAGGCUUUCGUACGUGUUGAUCCCAGUAGAAGAAAAUGCGGAGUUGUUAUCCGCUGUGAUGGGGAGUAUUUGAAGGUCUUGCAGCUGCUCCCCUGCAGCAAUCACGCUCUGCCGACAUCCAAGUUUUAUUGCCAAACAUAUUCGGCACGCAUCCACUUUGGAAUAUGUGUAAUUUGUUUUCAUUUCUACUUUUAAUUAAAAUUAAAACAUAGACAUAUUUUCAAAAAUUAAUUUUAGAAAAUAAAUAUUUUCUUACAAAUAAAAAAAAAUAGAUAUUAUAAACAUUUUCACCGGCUUAUCAUUUUCAAUCUAAAUAAAUAUCAUAGAGUACUUUUGGGACUGAUUAAAAAAAAGACAAAAGUUUUUAAUAUUUUUAAUAUUUAAAUAAUAAAAAAUUUCAAGUGUUAUAAAUAUUAAAAGCUUUUCUUAAAAUUAUUGUCAAAUAGGUAAUUAGAUAGUGAUUCUAAAAAAUAUUUUUAAUAUUUCUAACACUUAAAAUGUUUUAUCUUUUAUAUUUUAAAAAGUCUAAAAACACUUUUUAGAAUCAUCUUUAAACAAGUAGUAAUUUUAUGAAGUAUUUUUAAUACUUAAAAUUUUUUAUUUUUUAAAUAUUAAAAAUGUUAAAAUUCUUAUUAGAAUUACUGUCAAACACACUCUUAGGAUGUGUAUGACGUUUUUAAUAAAUAAAAAAAAUUCUUUGAAAGUGUUUUUAGAAAAAUUGUUUCUCUAGAAAACACUACAAAUAAUUUUUCAAAUUUCAAAAUGUUUUAUAAAAUUUAUCAAACACCUUUUUUUUUUUUCCAAAACAAUGUGUAGACUAAAAGCACUUCUUAGAAUAACAAUUAAAUGAGCUUUUUAUCCUAUUACAAGUUUUUAUUUAUAUCAUAACUUAACUUUAAAACAUUUUUUCAAGUAAGGUUAAUUUUACAUUAUACCCAAAUGUCAAAAGGUUUUAUAGUUAAAUUAAAAUACAAAAGGACAAUGGUGAAUUUUUUACUUUUUUUUUUUACAAUUUAUCCAUAUAUUUUAAAAUUUUGUUAUAUAAGUAUUAAACAUUUUUUUUUUGGUUUGUAGAAAAUAAUAAACAAAAAUAUAUCAAGUGAUGCUUUAAUGUGUUAAGUAUUUAUAAAAGAUAAAAUAUGGUGAAAAAUAAUUUCUAUUAAAAAAAAUAUAUAAGAACAUAGUUUUAUACCAUUUUACUGGACGAUAAAUUUAAAAUAAGGUAAAAAUUCUAUGCAACAAGCACAAAGACCAAAUCAUUUGGAAAAUAUUUAUUUUUGAAAACAUAAAAAUCAUUUUAAUAGAACAGUGUGAAAAUUAUAUGCAAGAAUUAGCUUUUAUUACUCUUGAGUAAUACCAAAGUUAAGGAAACAUUAAUAAUAGACUAUGUCACUCCUUAAAUGAAUAAUUAAUAAAUUUAACGUUUCAAGUUACAACCAUAUAAUAAAAGACAUAAUAUGAUUUUUAAAGAAUAUAAGUGGAAUUAAAGAGAGUUUUUUUUUUUUUUAAAGGUUUUUGGUUAGAUGAGAAAUUGGGUUGGAGGGAGAUGCUCAUAAUAGGAGUUAGGGGGUUUCAAAAAACCGUUGGUGUAUUAGCGGUUUGAGUUGUCUACUUCCCUCAAAAACACACAAAAAUGGCUGAAUGUCUGGAAAAUAGGAACCAACCCAGCUAUUAAUAUGACAAAUGUUUGGGAGUUAUUCACCAUUAACCUUCUCCCUUAACUCGCUUUUCCCCUACUCUCUCUCUCUUCCAUUACAUUCCCUUGAGGGUUUCUUGCUUAUGUGAAACUUGAAAGGGAAUGAAAUUUUCUCCUUUCUAGUCCAUAUUUUUUUCCUGUAAGUUCAACUGGGUGGCCUUUCUUCUUCCUUUUUUUUUAAUUUUCUUUUCAAUCCAUUAAUAUUGAAGCAAGUUCUUCCUAUGUUUUACUUUGUUUUUCUUGUUCUUGCUUUCAUUUUUUCCCUUUCAAGUCUGGGUUCCAUGUUGUGGUUUUCUGAUUUUUACCUUAAUCAAUGGUUGUGUUUGAAAUUUUGACAGGAUUAGAAGAAAAUGAUCAGGUGUUUAGUUCUUUUCUCCUUGUUGAUCCUCUCAACUUCAGCCCAGAAAACUUCCUCACAAACAUGGCAGACUUUAAAUGGUAUGAAACAGCCACGGAUCCCCACUAUUAUUGAAAGAAGUUGAAGGUUACAAUAUAAGUUUUACUGUUACAUAUCAGUGCUUCUCUUCAUGUUUGGAAUGUCUACUUGCCUGCAGGUGAUGAGCCUGUUGUUAUAGCCCGUGGCGGAUUCUCGGGACUUUUCCCUGAAUCUAGCCAAUUUGCACAUCAAAUUGCGCUUUCCACCAGCCUGUCCAAUGUAAUUUUGUACUGCAACCUGCAACUGACAAAGGAUAGCGUUGGCAUAUGCCAGACAGAUAUAAGACUUGAUAAUUCAACAAAUAUAGCAGCUGUCUUUCCAAAAUCCCAAAAAACCUACACAAUUAAUGGAGAAAAUGUUCAGGGUUGGUUCGCUUUGGAUUAUACAUCUGAUCAGCUCUUUAACAAUGUAACAUGUAAGUCUUGGGAUGAUGCCUCUUUUUCUUUACAUGAAGCCUUUGGUUGGCAAUGGUAGCAAUGACUGAGGGGCCUGAAAGUGACUGUUUUCUCUUCCUUGUUUUGUUCUUUUCCCUCAGUGACUCAAAGCAUAUACUCCCGGCCAAGUUUGUUUGAUGGCACGCUGCCAUUAUCUACUGUUGAUGAUGCAAUUGGGAUCAAACCCCCUGGCUUUUGGUUGAAUGUUCAGGUAUCUGUGCCUAUUUUCUAGUUCUUUCUCAGAAAUGAGAGAGAUGUGUAGAGAAAUAUAUAUUGUUUUCUAGGCACAGGCAUUGGUAUUUUUCUGAUUCAUUUCUUUGGUGUUACUCUGCUCUUUCUUGUAGUAUGAUGCAUUCUAUGCUGCAAACAAACUCAGUGUAUCAUCAUACAUUCAAAAGACUACAAGAUUUAUGGGCAUAAGUUACAUUUCAUCUCCUGAGAUAGGUUUCUUGAAGAACAUGAAUAAAAUCAUAAACAAGGCCAAGACCAAACUCAUCUUCCGGUUCCUAGAUGCAGACGCAGUCGAACCCACAACCAAACAACCAUAUAGUUCAAUAUUAAAGGAUCUUUCCUCAAUCAAGUCAAUUGCAUCGGGAAUUCUUGUCCCUAAAGAAUAUAUAUGGCCUCUUAGUAAGGACCAGUAUCUGCUAACUCCCUCUAGUGUUGUAGCCGAUGCUCAUAAACAAGGCCUAGAAGUAUAUGCUUCUGGAUUCGCAAAUGAUAUGCCUGGAAGUUACAACUAUAGUUAUGACCCAACAGCUGAGUACCUGCAGUUUGUCGAUAAUUCAGAUUUUUCUGUUGAUGGAGUGCUCACAGAUUUCCCUCCCACAGCAUCAGAAGCCAUUGGUGAGACCAUCUCACUCUAUUCACCGAAAAAAUUAUAAUAGUGUAUGAUCCACAUGUUAUGGGUUUAUUCUUACCAUGGAUUCUCUUUCUUGUGCAGCAUGCUUAGCACACAACAAGAAUGCUACCAGGCCUAGCAAAGGUAAGAUAUGAAAUCACAAUCUUCUUUAUCAUAAUAAGUAGGAAGAAUAAAAAAUCGAUCUAAGGGGGCAAAUGCUAUUGUUUCUUGCCAUAAUCCUAUAAGUUUUCAGGGAAAAUUUUGGUCAUAUCUCACAAUGGAGCAAGUGGGGUUUACCCUGGCAGUACUGAUCUUGCAUACCAGCAAGCAGUAGAUGAUGGGGCUGAUAUAAUAGAUUGCUCAGUCCAAAUGUCAAAAGAUGGAGUUGCCUUCUGCUUAAAUUCAGCUGACCUCUUGGGGAGUUCUAAUGCCAUGACUUCUUUCAUGUCUCGAUCUACCAUGGUCUCUGAAAUUCAACCGAAGAGUGGAAUUUUUUCGUUUGAUCUCACAUGGAGCGAGAUUCAAACACUGACGCGUAAACUUCUUAAAACAUUCUUCUACAUGUUCACACAUGGGUUCUGAAGUCUGAUAGAGCUAUAUCUCUCUCAUUUCAGCUCAACUAACAAGUCCACUCCCAAAUAGUGGCUUGGCAAGAAACCCAGCAAACAAGAACCAGGGGAAAUUCAUAACUCUCUCUGAUUUCCUGGACUUUGCUAAGGCCAAGGCAGUUUCUGGAAUUUUGAUCGACAUAGAGGUAGUAAGCAAUUUAAAUUUGCUAAUUCCCACUGUCUCUACAUAUCUACUUUCAUCCUGAAUUCGAACACCCACUCUUUCUCCUCAGAAUGCUGCCUACCUAGCAUCGAAGAAGGGUCUUAGCAUAAUAGAUGCUGUGACAGCUGCCUUGAGCAAUGCCACCUUUGACAAACAAGCAACCCAACAAGUCAUGAUACAAUCCGACGACACUUCAGUGCUGUCCAAGUUCAAGAAUGUCCCAGGUUACAAGCGAGUUCUAUCCAUCAAGGAAAUUAUAGGUGAUGUACCCAAGCAGACAGUGGAGGAGAUAAAAAAAUUUGCUGAUGCAGUCAACCUCCCAAGAUCGUCCAUUGUCACAACUAAUGGUGGCUUCACUACAACUUUUACCACUGUUGUUGAUGAACUCCAUGCUGCAAAUAUCUCAGCAUAUGUCUCAGUUCUCAGGAAUGAAUACGUCGCCAUCGCAUUCGAUUUCUUCUCAGACCCGGUUGUGGAGCUUGCUACUUACGUUGGUCGCCUUGGAAUUGAUGGGGUUGUGACUGACUAUCCAAAAACUGCAGACGCAUAUCUCAGUAAGCCCAUCACAUACCCAACUGUCUGACAUUAGCUUAAUCCGGUUCCUAACAGUUGAAAAAACUUGCAGGAAGCCCCUGCUCGGAUUUGAAUGCGAAAGUGGCAUAUUCCAUAUUGCCAGCAGAGGCGGGUGCAUUACUUGGGUUGGCAGAGCCGGAAGUGUUGCCGCCAGCAGAAGCCCCGGGGCCACCGCUCACAGUCGACGACGUUGUAGACCCACCACUGCCACAAGUAUCAUCAUCAAAUGGCUCAACAGCCGAUCCGGCUGCUGGACCUGUUAAAGCCCCUCCACGUUCAAGUGGUCGGGCAAAUGCUGCCAAUAUGGGUCUCCAUCUAUUGGGAAUUCUGCUGAUUAGCUUACUUUCUGCGGGAUAUUAAAUUUUAUUGACCUUCCCAUGGACUUUUAUCUACAUUCUUUUCCUAUUGAAGUGGAAAAUGUAAAUUUUAUUUUAGAACUAAUUGUCACAUCCUUUACAAAUUCAUUUCAUACUUGUACCUAAAAAACUUAUUUGUGAUUGGUUUUUAGUUUUUACACAUUCUCCUACUUGCUUUCUCAUAUCCAUCAGUCAAUGUUGUUCUGAAUUUUACCUUUUUUAAAAAUUUUGGAAAAGCUUGCUUCAUACCCACAAAAUUCCUGUCCAUGAGUUGGUCAUCCAAGGUCAUUUUAUUUUCCUAUCCGCAUUUUCUCAUCAACCAAAUAGGGCACACCCAAUCUUUGGCACCCAUAAAGAAAGAGGGAGAAUGGGAAGGAUGAGGCUCAGAUUCGGCCGGAAUCAGACAAAGAAAAGGUCCCCGCCGUGGCUGCAACCACAGUUGCCAAUGGAGGCCAUCCGGGUUGCCUCGCCCAAGCACGGGGUUAUUGUUCUUCAGUGCCUGAUUUUACUCGUGCAAACAUCAUCACUGCCUCUUUUUAAAGAGAGAAACAAGAGAGGAGGAAAAGAAGAGUGGGUGUAGAAGGGCCGUUGUUGAUUUUGGUGUCAAAGAAAUCAUGGGCUCCGGUGAUCUGAUUGGAUCAGUUUCAGAGAGGGGCAACGACCCUUCGCAAACUCCCCAGCCCUCUGAAAUCUCUGAGCCUCAUUCUUCGGUAGUUGACUUCAGUCAUGACUCUUCUUGCUACUUCAAUUUAUACCGAUGCCCUAGACUCUUGAAAUUUUCCAUUUUUUUUUUAUUUUAAUUAGAGCUUUAAUUCAGAGGGGUUGGGCUGAGUUUGCGUCUAACUCGGGCCCAACCAAAAUUAAUAAACCCGAACCAGAACCCAAUCAGUAACCUAAAAUGUUCAACCUAAACCCAAACGUAUACCCUGAAUUUUCCCUCAAUAGUAUAAAACUUGUAUACUCGUACAUGCAUCUUCCUCUAUUCAUUUGAGUUGAUACAGGUUCUUAGGCAAUGUGCAAGGAUUGGUGGGAGAGAAAAUGGCAAAAUGCAGAAAAAUAAAAAGAAAAAUCAUGAUAUUUCAAAACGAUGUUGGUUUUGGUGUGUUCGAUAUCGAAGGUCAACAAAAAGAAGCACAUUGUCAAAUGGUCCAUGGAAAGGUGAUGUUGAUUUUGGUUUGUCAAACCGACAUUGAAUUAAUGACCACAGCCCCCCAUGUUUGAUUGAUCAAAGUUGAAGGGAAGCACAUUGCUGAAAUGCUCUAUUGCCUCAAUUUGAUAACAAAGCGACAAUCCAAAGCGACACCAUUUCUGAUAGGGAAGCCACUAUUCCUAGCUUAUAAAUAUGAAAAUGAGCAAUUAUGUUAAGGACACUUACUUUUUGAAACAAGACGAGGGGAAACUUUGUUGAAUUAUUCAACACAAAAAUAAGAAUAAGAACUGUAAUUGAGAAACUUGAGUCCCAAGCACUAGCCUCCCUUAACAUCAAACGUGGGCAUUUAGGUAUAAACACUUGCCAUCUUCUUUAGUUCUUGCAUUUUGGCUUUGUAAUGUGAGUACGGUAAACAUUUGUGUAUAGACCUUUAUAUAUUGUAGUAAGUCAUUGGUGAUGUGUGAUGAAUCAAUUUUAGGAUUUGAAGUGAAGGCCAUGAAAUUAGAAAACCCACUUUUGGAGAAGUGAAUCCAUGGUUUCCAAUGUUUUAUUUACUUCAUUUUCACAUGUCUACUACCAUUUUUGUAUUAUUUGGCUUUUAAUGAGGGUAGGAACAGUUUGAAAUAGAGAAAAAUAACCUCAAGUUUUGAAUUUUGAUAUCAUGUCUUUUCUUUUUUUUUUUUUUUUAAUUUAAGGGUCUUUUGGUUGUUUUUAAAAACUAUUUUAAAAAACAUUUUUUGAGAAUAGUUUUUAAAAAGAUUUUUUAUAUUUUCAACAAAAAAAAAAAAAAUGUAUUUGAAAACUAUAUUAUGUGAAAAAAAUUUUGUUCUCAAAAACAAAAAAACACAUGUUUGAUUGAGUUAAAUAUAAAAGUUUUUUAGAAUAAGUAAAAGCAAAAAAAUAUUUGAAAGUUAUUUUUUAAUUAAUAAAAUAUUUUAUUCCAUAAUAUUAUAAAUAAUUUUCAUAUACACAAUUCAUUUAAAUUAAAAAAAGUGUUUCAUUUUAAAAUUUUUACAUAAAUUAUAAUUUUUUUAAAGAAAGGAUUUUUAUAACUAUACAUAAAUAUAUUAAUCUCAAUAAUUUAAAGAAGAAGAAAGGGCUUAAAAAGGCUAAUGGAUGAGGGUGUGAUAAUCAUGUGAAAGUCACCUUUGUGAAAAAUUUAAAAAUAGCUAAAACAACACAAAAAAAAUAUAUAAAUAUAAAAAACAAUUUAUUCUUUAAACAGUAAAAAAGUAUCAUAUUAUUAUUCUAAAAAAAUGAUUUUUGAGAACACAAAAAAACAAAAACACAACCCUACCCAAAUAAGUUUUUUAUGUUUUUGGUUUUAAGAUCAAAAACAAUUCUUUAAAACAGGAACCAAACAACCCUAACCCUUUUCAUGUUUUUUUAAAGAAUAACUCAUUUUUUCCCUAAAUGUCUUGAUUAUUUUAAAUAUUUACAUACAUAUUAAAAAACAAAAAAUAUUGAAGACAUUAUUUUAUCAAAAUGAGACCAAAAACUAAUGAAAGAUUAGAUUUUAAAAAUUAGAUUUUCAAUCACUCUUAAUUAAAAAAACACAAUUUAAAAAAAAUUAAAAAGAUUAAAUCAUUCUUCACAUAAUUAUUAAAAAAUAAAAAGAUAUCAAUUAUGCUUUGUGGGACCAAGCAUCAUGACUCAUCUUCUUUGGGCCUCCCGCUACUUUAAUCCUACACAGAUGACACAUUUUUAUUAAGAUCCAGAUCCUAUUAUCAUGGACCGGGCAAUGGAGGCUCAGAUCCGGCCGUAAUCAGACGAGCUGCUGGGACGCCAUGGCUGCAACUACGGUUGCCUGUAAAAUGAAACCCAUUUCACAGAUCACCCGGGUUGCCCCGCCAAGAAACGAGCCCUUCAUAAUCUCUGAUUUACUUGGAAAGUAUCAUCAUAGCCCCUCGAUUUAUUUACUUGGAAACAGAUCCAGGACCCUUUCAAGGACCCUAAAUACAUCCAACCAAACAAUAAUAAAUAAAUAAAUAAAUAAAGAUGGACAUCACGGGUCCAGGGAGGGCUCAGAUCCGCCCGUAAUCAGACAAGAUCCAUGUUCGCCAUGGCUGCAACUACAGUUGCAUGUGAAAAAACAGGGCAUAGAAACCCAUUUCACAGACAAUCCGGGUCGCCCAGCCAAGAGAUGGGUCCUUUCAAAUGUCUGAUUUACUUGGAAAGUGUCAUCACAGCCACUUAAUUUUCCUGCACAUUUUCUCAGCAACCAAACAGAUACAAGAUCCUUCUCAGAAAACACAUUUUAAAACACAAACAAAAAAACCAAAACAAAACAAAGAUCAGCCUCAGCGCGGAAGUGAAUAGCGCGUAAAAGGAAGGCUCAGAUUCGCCUUUUAUCAGACAAGAAAAAGAUGACCGUCAUGGUUGCAACCACAGUUGCUUGUGAAACAAGGCACAAAAGGUCCCAUCACACAAACCAUCCGGGUUGCCCCGCCAAGAAACGGACAUUCCCAGUGCCUGACUUACUCUGAAAACGUCAUCACAGCCUUUUAUGUUGCCCAUAUGAACAGAGAGAGAGAGAGAGCUGUUGAUUUUCCAGAGAAUCAAGACAGCCUCUGAUAUAUAUGUAUAUAUAUAUAUAUAUAUAUAUAUAUAUAUAUGUACACACAUGUGCAUGAAAAGAAAGGAAAGAAAAGAAAGAGCCAAGGAAAAGGGCUGUUGACGGGCGUAGUAGAAGGAAUCAUCGGCUCCGACGACCAUGAGAUUCAGAGAGGGGCAACCACCCUUAGAAACUCCCCAUCCCUCCGACACAGUCCCUGGAGCCUCACUCACACACGUGUAUGAAAAGAAAGAGCGAAGGAAAAGGGCUGUUGAUGGGCGUAGUAGAAGGAAUCAUCGGCUCCGACGACCAUGAGAUUCAGAGAGGGGCAACCACCCUUAGAAACUCCCCAUCCCUCCGACACAGUCCCUGGAGCCUCAGUCUUAAACCAAUGGGGUUUAGCCCUAAGAUGUUAUUUGGUAAUCUGAUCAUGAUUUGCAGGCAAAGGUUGUGUUUUUCAGCCUGGCUCAAAAAUUGUGGAUUUAAGGUUCGUGAAAUUUAAAUCCAAUGGCACAAAAGCAAAGAGACCCCUAGAACAGAUCCAGAAAACACAGGGAGCCAAAAAAAAAAAAAAAACGCAAUUUUUUUGGUUUUCCUUGGGGGUUUUGCAUGAAUUUUCUCGGAAAUCAAACAAGGAUGAAUUUUCCCGGAAAUCGAAUGGGGGAUGGAUUUUCUUGGAAAUCAAACGGGGGUUGCAAAAACAAAAAAUAAUAACAUGAUUAGAUUAGUACCUGCGAGGAUUGAGAGUGGCAGAGGAAAAUAGGGCUUUUUAAGGGAUUCUCUCGUCCGGAGGGCAAGUUCAGAAAAGGGCUUCUUGAUGCCCCAGUGAGAGAAGUGGAUGGCCCUUUCCAUUUUUAUAUUUAGUAGAGAGAGAAAACAAGGAAACAAAUCAUGAGAACAAUUAUUCUCUCUAUAUAAAUAAUUAUUAAUUAUCCAUCUUUAUUUUGAUUAAAUCACUACCAAAAUUUGAUUUUUAUAAAUUAAAAUUAAUUUGAUAAGAUAAAUUAUUAAUAAUUUUAAUUAUUUAAAUAAAUUAAUGUUAAUAAAAAAAAGUUAUUACCACAUAUUUUUAAUAAAAUCUUAAAAAUUAAAUAUCAAAUAAAAUAUUUUAUAUAAAUUAAUUUAAUUUUUCAUUUAAAAUGUAAUAAUACAUGUUUUAAUAAAAAUAUUUAAUUUUUUAAAAUAAAUAUUAUCUUCAAUAAGAUGGACUCCUUUCAUCUAAUAAUAUGAUACUAAAGACUAUUAUAAUAUCAUAUAUAUUAUAUUUAUAUAUAAAUUAUUUUUAUUCUAUAAAAUCAAAUAUUUCUUAACUCAAUUCUAACUUUAUACACUUUCAAAAUUCAUAUUUAUUAUUCUUAAAAUUCAAAUACCGAAUCUACUAAUAUUUUCUAUUUAAUCAUAUUUAUGUCAAUUAUAUUUACAAAAUAACUUUAUAAUAUAUAUUAUUGUUAUUUUCCUUUUUUUUUUUUAAGUUUUUCCAAACAUUCUUAUAAAUUUUAAAUAAUUUUUGCUCGACCGAUAUCCGUUUACCGAUCUUUACUCUGUAUCUAUCCAAAAUAAAUGAAAGAUAGUUUUUUACAACAAUUUUUUUAAUGAUUUUUAAAUCAAAAGUUAGUUUUAAAAUCUGAAAUAUUUUUAAUCCACUAUUAUGUUUUUAAAAUUAUAUAAUUAUUUUUUAAAACAAUAAAAACAAAUAAAAUAAUUAAGGUUAUGUUUAGUUUAUUAAAAAAAAUGUUUUAUCAUAUUUGAUUUAAUAGUGAAAAUAAAAAUAUAAUAAUAAUUAAAAUUACUUAAAAACCAAUGUAGCUUUAAAAUUUUUUUUUUGAUCUUUAGCUUAAAAAAGAAAAAUAAAUAAAACGAAUUUGACAAGAUAAUUAAUCUCUCUGAAAGGAAGAGACUCAAAAGUUUUGGAGGAAGAAAAAAAGGGAGUAAGAUUUGAGGGAUAAAAAUAAAGAAGGAACAAGUGGGUGGGUAUUGCAUUAUAUCCAUGAGUUGAUCAAUAACUAGCUCCAUUUCCUUUCCUUUAUUUUCUUGCCAGCCAAACAAAAUCUUAAGUCUGGAACCAUCAUCCCAGAAACCAUUUAUUAAAAGCCAUACGCCAAGGAUUCGUAUAACACCAUGGAAUCAACCAUCAUCACCCUCUCAAACCUACAUGCCAUAGCUACACAGACUCUACUCCCAAGUUCCCAAAUAACCAAGCUUCAUAUCUACUAGCUCCAAAAUGGUUAAACAAGAUGAAAGAAGGAAAGGAAGAGAUUACUUGAUGAGAGCCUGGUAAAGGCAGAUCUGCAAAAAUUACAAGCCUUGUCCACAUAGCUUUAUGUGGUCCCAUGGUAUCUAUUUAUAGCCCCAUGAAAGCAGAAUUACUUCUUCAUUACCAAAUGUCAGCAUAGGCAAUGCCCGACCUCCAUCUUCCCAUGGCUGCCAAGCCCUUUUAUCAAUAUGUGAAGAUGCAAACCAAAAUGGUUAGCCCAUCAUCCAAAGCUAGCUCCUCCUCCUUAUUUACACCUAACGGUUUCCCUGAUUCACAACAAGUUCAAUUUCCUUGCUCGACAUCUUUCAGAUAGAACAGAACAAUUACGAUUACAAUCACAAAAUGUAACACCACCCCACAUCUUCCUCUGUUUAUCUAAGCAUUACAAGACCUCAAAGUUGAUGUUCCAUCAUCAUAAUAGGCAUGGUGUAUUUCCAGUCUCAAACAAGUUAAGGUUCCAUCCUAACACCAUAAUGGUGGGUUGUUUUACUUCAGACAACGAAUCUGAGUCAGUUAACAGGCAAAAAGAAACAUUCAAUAGUUCAAGAAGAUCACUUAGAAUUUUCUGAAAACCUCAAAACCGUUUUCAUUUAUAAUUACAAACCAACCCAAAAAUUGAACAAUACGAGGCACUGGGCUGAACAAUCACCUCAGAACUCUGGUAAAAAAGAUGAAGGUUUCUAUAGAUAAAAUGGCCUUUGCAAAUAAAGCAAUGAGAAAAAUGGGAUAUAAAUUAAGGAAUGAUAGAAUGAAAAUGUUGAAAGGAAUUGCACAUGGCUUCAAAGAAUGAAUAGAUUUGGUACCCUUGCCGAGAAAUUACAUGGCUGCCUUGCCCCUCUGUUGAAGUACUACAUCAUGCACAACUUCCCCUGCUGAGUUAACAAAGUAGGUUUCCUGCCAUGGAAAAAGAACAUUUGUUGGUGCUUCAACAAGAACAAAUUUAGUAAAAAAAGACGAAUACUCACAAUCUCUAAGGAGCUGACUCUAUGAAGAAGGAACCCAUUAACCAUUCCCCUGAGGAAACAAAGAAAAAAAUUUCAUAUGUAUGAACCAAUGUAGAACACCAUUAGGAACUAUGAACAGAAAUACUCACUUACUAAAACCUGAUAUUUGAUUUACAGAAGCAAGAGGAAGUUUUUCAUCAAUUGAACCUGGGUUCCUGAUGUAGGCUAUACUAUCUUUACGAGCAUAGUCACUACAUCCCUCCCCACUCAGGUACACAUCCUGAUGAGCAAAUGCAUGGAUAAAGCGUUACUUUCUUCAUAGGCACCAGAAAGAUUCCAAAUUUGACAUAUCAGAAAGUUGUUCAUUCAAUUCAUUAGGAACUGUCUUAGAUUUUCAUAUAUAUUGAAAAUUUUGGACUUUGAUCAUCUCAAAAGCAAGUUCUCUAAAGAACCCAAAAUCAAAACCUUGGGCAUGGGAUGUCUUCACCCAUUGAUACUCAAUGGGGAGAGCCAUAAAUACUUACCACUCCAAACUUAUAAAAAAUAUGGUGUAGAUGCUCAUAAAGUUGUAUUUCUAUUCGUUCCCUGUUUCCUUCACAAACAGCCAAUGAGCAGAAACCAACAACUAUGCGCCUGGAUCAUAAGGAGGAAAAAAGGAGACAAUUAGUACUUGGGAAUUGGGAUGGAUAGUUUCUUUAUUAAGUUAAAUAUGGAGUUGAAAUGGUAGGGGUGCUUGGCAAUGGCAAUAGGACAGCAAACAAUGAAGGUCCAACAUAGUAACCAGAGAAAACAAAAGGAAAACGAAUGUUUUAACUCAACAAUUUGGGUUAAGGCAAAAUUUAAAUGAAAACCAGAAUUUUAUUGUUGAAAGAAAGAAAAUUUGUGAAAUAAAAUUAAGUUGAGAAGUAGAUUAUCACGCAUCAGAACCACUCUGAACUGACAUGAUUUUCAAAUUUUUCAAAAUUUUCCAGGCAUUACAACCUUGCUUAUUCCUAGGUUCAUGCAAUUAUAAACAGCCAAUAUGGUGCAAUGUAACCUUACCAGUCGCUAUCUGAUGUUUCUAGUGUCUUUGUCAGCCCAUGUAAUUGAUCAUUUCCAGCACCAUUUAACGGAUUCAUAAGCAUAAAAUCCUUCAAGUUUCAAAGAGGAGACCAAUUAAGAGGAAAGAAGAAUGAAAUGCGGCAUAAAGGAGCAGAAACCAAAAAACAGAAACAAAUGGGGGAUAAAAUGUGUGAUAAAUACAUCUAUGGGAUAUUGAUAGUGUAACUAAAUGAAAUAGAUAUCAAAUCAAUCAUAUACACAUAUAAAUACAACACAGAAAUAAGCAUGGCCAUGGUGAAAAAGGGCUGCAAUGUGGGUUGUAACCAGAGAAUGGAAUAUGGACAAGGAGCAUAAAAAAUGAUUUGGCAGGCCAAGAAAUGGCUAUUUUAAUAUGAUGAAAAAGAAAAAGAACAAAAAAAAUUCAUUAUGAACAUGACUUGAAGAGUACACCUACGCUCAAAUAAUGACCAAGUGAUCAACUUUAAAAUCACAUUGCUAACCUCAGCCCUACCCCUCAUGGAAAAAUGGAAAAAAUAAAUAAAAAGAAAAAAAAUUCUUAGAAGGCCUUGAGAAGGGUAAACCUGCUGGGACUCAAACCCGGAACCACCCCACAUCCCCACCCUCAACCCAAGCUACUCGAGCCACGCCUCAAGGGUGAUAAAGAUCUAACCUUCAGCAUUGAAUAAAAAAUAAGCUAAAUGUGCAAAAAAUAUCCAGUAUUUUCUCAUGCAUUUUAAUUGCUUACUAGACUAGAUAGAAUCUCCAGUCAUUGAUGAGAACAAAGAACUCAGUGUCUUUAUUAUUAUUAUUGAAUAAAAAAUAAUCUAAAUGUGCAAAAAUAUCCAGUAUUUUCUCAUGCAUUUUAAUUGCUUGCUAGACUAGAUAGAAUCUCCAGUCAUUGGUAAAAUUCAAUAAUUCCAAUUUCCACCAGUUGAUUUGUCAAGUCCCUAAUUAAAUAAUGAAAGAUAAAAUACUUUGAUGAGUUAUAUACUAAAAUAUUUGUGCUUCCCAAUCUAAUUCUAACAAGAACCCUACAAAAUGCACACCUUAAUCCAACUCAACCAACACUCAAUCUUGCGAUUGCCUCAUAGUCCACAAGGUACAUCGGAGAGACCUAACUUAUCUUGAUGUUACAAGAUUUCACAUGAACAUCUGAAUACAUCUCCUGGGGCAUGGUAAAGAUGAAUAUAAAAACAAAAUGAAAUCAAUACAAGAAGUUGAUAGCCCCUCUAUGAUCAUAACUGGGGUCAGCACAAUCAGUAACAUAAGAUUCAUGGCGUAGUAUCGCAUUCCAAACAAUAAAAUAUUGAAGUGUAUCAUAAACUCAACACAAGCAUAUGCAAUGUCAAUUAUCAUUAAGUCAACAAUGAUAUUAAACAUUGGUAUAAACAAUUGAAACAAUGACAACACAAAAGGAAAAAACCUUAUACAACUAUUAAUCUAUCCUCUUUGGAAGUCUUUUAUCAUCUUCCACAAAUUUCCCAUUUUCCUCCAUAUGCUGCACAAAAUCCGACCCCAUAUUUUUUGUAUCUUUGUCAUCAUUAAAGGAAAUAAAUGCAUGCAACUUUUAAAGAUUUGAGGCCAUGUGAAAAACUUGUCAUUUGAUGUCAAGUUUUUUUAUAUGAAAAAGUUUUCCAAAAUGAGAAUGGCAGAACUAUCAAUCUAUCUUCAUCUAGGUUUGGAGCUUCUUGAGUCUUUUAUCAAUUAUCAUCCACCAUAAAAUUCCAGUUUUCUUCUGUAAAUUGCUCAACCUCCAACAUAAUUUUUAAUUUUUUUUCUAAUUAAGAUUAAAUACAUGCAUAUUUUGAAGAUUAAGCCAUGUGGAGAAUUGUCAAUCAAUCGUAAGUUUUUCCUAUAUCAAAAGCAUUUUUUAAAAUUUUCGGCCUUGUUGGAAAAAAGACCUAAUGAGAUGGGUUUGUAUCACAAAACACUAAGGAUUGACUCAAAAGUCCCAAUGAAAUUAUAGCUACUGUAAAAACCAUGUAACCGCUUUCAAGCUUAAACCCAUAUUACAAGAGGAUGGUGGAAGAGGCCUCUCUUCUGACUGACAUAAUAACCAUGAGAAGUAUUAGCCAACAAAUCUUAAAUUGAGCAAAUUCAACAAACCAGUUGAUACCUUAAAUGCCCCAGUAUCCAAACUAAUAAUGUCUAAGGUCUUCCCAAAAGGUAUUUUGAUCUGCUUUAGGAAGUAACCUGUUCCUUGUCCUCUUGAAACUCUGGUACUGUACCUACAAGAAUUACAAUUCAGGAUUACCACACAAAGAGACUAAACCAAAAAGACUGUUACAUUAAAAACUACAUUGGAGUCCAAGUUUUGUAACAAUGAAAUUUCAAAAGAUGAGCUACAAAAAUGACACAACUGAUUGCAAAGUGGAUGGCAUACCAGGGAACUUUCAGUGUUGAAAAACGCCAAGUACCCUGUAAAAGAAGAUGUCAUCUUCUAAGAUUGUUCCUAACAGAUGAAACCAAUGAAACCUAAUUAAACUCAGCAGUAAUUUAUUUUCUAAUCACACACCUAUAAAGCAAAACAAAAUAAAACUACAGAAUUAAAUAUGAACCACUAUUCCAUUACUCCAACCAAAGCAUGGUUUCUAUUAUUUCAGUUAAAUUCACAAAAAGUUAGGAGAGAAUCAUUUCUACAACUUACCCAGAGUGAAGCAAUGCAUAACUUUGAUUAAAUUUGGCUAAACUAUGACAACUAAAGCUUCCAUAUAAAUGGAGUGUAAGCCUGAAGGUGCCACAAGAAAGUUCAUAUAACAAAUAGUAAAAGGGCUUCCCACAUUGAAUUUACUAGCCAUGGUCUUACAUUCUGUGUGAGUGGAUCGUCUUCCCCAAGUUCACUAAUGUUUAUCACAAACCUUGCCUCAUAAGUCUUUGCCGCCUUCUCCAUCUUCAUGGGAAAAAACAAUUCAAAUUAGAACAGGGAAAAUAGAAUAUAAACUCAAAAUGCUAUUAAUGUUAGUAGACGAUAAUCAUUUAAUGCAACUAAGUUCAAUAACAGAGGGGGGAAAUAACAAAGCCUAAAAACAGAGAAGGUGGAAGGCAGAAGUAACUUGGAUGAAUUAGAACCAAGAAGACAAGACAAGAUCAAAACCAACAGAUGAGAAGGCUGACACAAACAAUUGAGAGAGAUCAAAAACUGAACCAUAUAAUAAAAAACUCACUCACAUGAUUAUUCUUUGGCCAAAAGAUAAAGGUUAUGUUUGGUUCCAAAAAGUACCAAGGAAAGAAAAAAAUACUAAGAAAUAUUAUUAUGUUGCAUAUACAAUUAAAAACGGAAAAAGAAAGAUCUUCUAGGGUUCAACAACUGUCAUAUUAAAAAAAUAAUAAAAAUAAAAUUUCGAUCCCAGUAAAACCUAACACAAAAUUCUUUCCUCAAAGCAAAAUCAUUCACAUAGAAAGUAAUUGAGAAAGAAAUAAUAAACUGUUUGGUUGCUGAGAAAAUGGAGACAUAGAAAAGGAAAUCAAAAUUUUGAAACUCUAUUAUUUCCAUUAUUUGAAGGCCUGGAAGAAAGAGGGAAAAAAACUUCCACUCUUACCUUAAUUUAGGUUGUUUUGUCAAUUUCGAGAGGGGAAAAAACAGGAAAUUAAUUUCAAGCGAUUUCACUUUCAGCAUUCUCAGCAACCAAACGGAGCGUCUGAUAAAACUAUCAUAUCCACCAACAGAGCCAAAACCAAAUAUACCCACCAUCAACAUCUUAAAACAAAAUCCAUAUAGAACGAGAAAAACCCAUGCUUUUCUUCAAUGAACAAAAGGAAUCAAUAGAGAGGAUGAGAAAUAGACCUGUUUGAGAAGAUGGGUUUGUUGAUUAAGAGGUCUAAAUCCUCCUCUAACACUGAUAAAGUAAAGGUCAAGAGGCCUGCUACUGCCACUGCUGCUGUGGGACAUGGGCUUCUCCCAAGGCCGACCCAAGUUGAAUGCAAGCAAGACAGCCAAGCAGAGAGACAACUGUGUUAUAACAGUGCGAACCCAUGAAGGUUUCCCCAUUGUUAACACAGGUCUCACAGCCUCAGCUAUUCAACUGGUAAUUGAUUUCACUCAUAGAUCUGAAGAUAUAUGAGGAACGUAACCGCCGUCACCCGUAUCUCUAAUCUCCUCAAUGUUAUCUGUAGGGACCCCUCCCACACGUGGCACACAUUUUCAUCCGAGUUAAUCUCAUCCGGAUUUCCCCAAGAGUACACGUGGUGCGCUUCUCCUAUCCGGACUCCCUCAAGAAGAGGCACACGACACUCACAAACAUAACAUCCAGAUGACUGCCACAGCGCAUCCGGACGACCGACAUACACUAUCCGGGUAUAUAUAUCCGGAUCAUUGAUUGAAGUAAGCAAGUCUUACACGUUAUUACAACAACCUGUCAUGGCCCACGUUCCGCCACCUGUAGGGUGAAAGGACAAGAAUGAAGUGACGGCAAGUCACUUCCUGCGAUCACUUCCCACGAUUUCUGACAGUCGCAGCAACUACCACGAUCUCUAUCAGCCGCCUAUAGGGUGAUGAUGGCCCUGCCACCACCUAGUGUCAUCAUGACAACACAAAAUAUCUCCCUACCAUUAAAGAGAGAAACAAAGCUUCUGAUAUUAUAUAUAUGAACCUUCACACAAGGAGUAAGGUAAGCUUGCUAUACCUAGUAAAAUGCCAACUGAUUUAUCUCUCUCUAACCAUGGCUGACAAAACCAUCGGAGGGUGCGUCCGGACACCCUGUCCGGACGCCUUUUGCAGGUAGUACGAUUGAAUCAAGAAUCUAUAUUAGUUGAGAUCGUGCAUCCACCCAUUUGGCAACUAAGUGGAUCACCAGGGAUGCGACGCUUCAACAUUAUCAAUUGCUUGAUUAAGAUAUUCGCUAAUGAAGCUCCACUUGGCAGGCAGGACCCAUUAUUGAAGGGAAAUGCCUUUAUAGUUCGUUUAUAUUAUGGACUCUCGGACUAAAAUCGCUUUGUCAUAUUUGAAACUUUCCUCACAAACAAACGCACCAUCAGCCAUUAAACAUCAUAUUUCAGCAUUCUUUUUUUGCACAUUGUCACAUUCCUAUCUCCUAAUUUUCAAAAAUUAUUUUAAAUUUAAAAAUUGAGUUACCACUUCAAAAUAUAAACUUUUAAAAUAAAAUUAUGUACAUUUAAAUCCAUACUAAAUAUGUGUAUUUGCGUUUAUUGCCUUGUAAUAAUAUUUUAUUCUUUAUUAUUAUUAUAAUUUAGAUGAGUUGGUUCGAUCUAAUAUAAUAUUUGAACAAAUUUGGAUAUUUAUUUUUAAUAUUCCGAUUAGACUUUGGUUCAUUUUUUAAACCUCAUCUUAAUUUGGAUUUGACUUGGGAGAUACCUCUAAUGAAAAUUAAUAUGGUUCUCUUCAUACAUUCUAUUCUACUUUUCUUUUAAUAUCUUUGUUUAUUCUCUCGUAUUUUCUUAUUCUUAUUCUUUUAUUUCACAACAUGUUAUCAACAGAGUUAUGAAUAUAUAGAAAAAGAGAAGAAUACUUAAGGUAGAAAAGAAAAAGAGAAUAAUUCAUCUACAAAAUUUCUUAUAGAUAUGUAGUCUUAUUCUCUUCGAAUGAAAUAUGAAUAGUAUGCAUUGUAUUAUUAUAAUUUUUAUUUACUUUAUCUCAUAACCAGAAGUUAUGUGAAUCAUAUUUCAUAUAAUUACAUAUUUUAAUUAUUUAAUAACUAGAAAUUAUAUAGAAAGUUUUUUAUAACCAGAAGUUAUGAAAAAAUAUAUGUCCAAUCUUCAUAACUAGAUGUUAUGGAGUAAAUUACAAAAACACAAAUACGUAGUCGGAAGCUAUGCAUAAGAUCCCUAAUUACUUUUUAAUUGUAUUAUAUAUCUAAAAGUUAUAUAAAAUAACAUUAUAUGGCCAGAAGCUAUAUAAUGAAUAGUUCAUAACAUGAAGCUAUGUACAAAUCCAAAAUUACAAAUAUACGACCAGAAGCUAUGUAUAUAACUCAUAAUUAUUUGUUUUUAAUUAUAUAGUUGUGGACCCGCAAAUUUCACGUGCGCCCCCACUCGAUCGACGAGACUCGCUUUUUGUUGGUGAAAAAUUAAUUUUGGAAAAUUCAGAGUCACCACUUAUUUUAUUUUUAUUUUAAAGGGAAAAUAAAAUAAGAAAUAAAACUCUAAAAAAAAUGACUCCAUAAUUUUUGGAAAAGCGUGUCUUUGAAAAAAAACCCGAGUCUAAGUCCGGGGAUUAGGUUACUUAUUGGGUAGGUACCUCUAGGAGGUAGCAUCUUUCUAAGCCCUAAAGAAGUCUCUACUGACUAAAUUGGGGGUAAUAUAGCAAUUAAUUGAUUAAUUGGGGAUACCAAGAUAGGUUAAAGUGAUUUCAAAAAAUAACAUGCCAAAUAGGAUCAAAUUACCAUAAAAGAGAGUUAGGGUGCAUACUUGGACGACUUCUCAAGAGCUAUCAUAAAACAUGAAAGUUAGUAUUGAGAUACAUCACACAACACGCAUUUUAUCAAAGAUAAUCAAACAAUGAUCAAAUAUAUAUCAAGGCAAUCAAACAGGAUAGCAAGCAUGGACAUAGUACGCAACGACAAUCAUAUUCAUAGGGUUUAGAAAGUGGGUAUUAGGGAACGUACCUGGAUAGCAUUUAUAACUCCUAAUGCACUUCCUCAAGACAUGGGGGUUAGAUAAUAAAUAAUAAAUAGUAAAUCCUAGCAUGCUUAUCUAAUUAAUUAGCAAAAAUUAUCAGAAUACGGAAUAAUUAAUUAUCAUACAUAUCUUGUAUACAAUUCCUAAAAAGAAAAAUGUAAAUAUAAUUACAAUAAAUAGCAGGGUGGUAGUAAAAAUAAAUUUUGAAAAAGAUUUUCUUAUGUAGGGGUUUCACCAAUUCCCCAAAUUAAUAUACACAAAUUUAGCCUAAAAUUAUCCCAUUUAUUUGGGACCACAAGCUUUCAUUCGCGUUUUGUUCAAAACCAAAAUUUUUGUUGAAAAUUGAGAAAGAUGUGAACCGAUUAAGAUACGGUUGCAUAUUAUUUUUUAAAAAAAAGAAAAGAAAAGAGAUUUUGAUUCUAGAGGCUUUAAAUGAAUUUUAUAAAAAUAAAAUAAAAUCUUAAAAGGUUUUUUUGAGAAAAAGAGUUUUGCUUUAAAAUAAAAGAAAUUAACUUUUAAAAUAGCAAAAAUAGAAAACAAAAUAUCAAUCAAAACAAAAGGAAACAAAGAUCACAAAAUAAAGAUUUUAGAAAUUAUUGUCAAUUAAAGUGGUGAGAGUAAAGGCCAACCUUCAUGGGUUUCCAAUGGCCCUAAAAAAAAAAAAAAAAAAUUUGACCAACAAUUACUAAGGCAACAAAUUUAUGACUUCCUAAUCAAACAAACUAACAAAAUUAUCAUACAAAAACUAACAUUUAGAUUUCAAGAAACAUAUGAAUAACUAGAAUUAAAAAUGUAAACUUUACCUCACAGGAUCAAUUAAACUAAAGAAUUAAGAUUGAUAACACGUUCAAAUUAAAAAUAAACUAGAAUUUAAACUAAUCGGAAUUAAAACUAUAAACUUUACCUUACAAGACCAAUUAAACUGAUAGAUUUAAGAUCAAUAACUCAUUCAAAUUAAAAAUAAACUAAAAUUAAACUAAUUGGAAUUAAAAAUAUAAAUUUUACCUCACAAGAUCAAUUAAACUAAAGACUUAAGAUCAAUAACAUAUUCAAAUUAAAAAUAAACUAGAAUUAAACUAAUUGGAAUUAAAAAUAUAAAUUUUAUUUAAACUUUCAUGUAGAUUAAAAUAAACUAGCAUAGAACUAAUGAAUUGCAAUCAUAAAAGAGAGACAUUUAAUCUAAGAAAAAUAAAAGAUUGUUCGAAAUCGAGAUUUAAAAGAAUUUAUCACAAACAAUUAAUUAAACCAAUCAACAAAAACCCAAACUAAAAAAAAAAGAAAUAAGAAAUAAUGUAUCAAAAACCGAAAACUAACCUGUAUUGUAUCGGAAAAAUACUCUCUUGAUGUGUCAAAAUGACAGCCCAAUUAGUCUUUCAAGUCCUCUGCCAUUCCCCAAAAAAAAAACUCUUGCGCGUGCCCUCUCAAAAAAAGAUUGCCUCUUGUAUGUGGAUCUCUGCUCCAAAAGAAAAGUCCUCUCCCUGCGCCAAAGAAAUAAAAUUCCCGUGUCUGUCUUCUCUCUUACUUCUUCAUCAAUUUUCAGCCGUUGAAGACCCUCGUCAAAUGCACAUAUAUUUAAUAGAAAAUUCAGUCACUUCACUAACAACAAGGAGUCAUAAUUUCCUCCACUAUUCUGCCAUAAUUUUCAGCUCACUUAUCAAUGCUCCUUCACCAAAUUUCCAACGCAUUUCAUUGUGAAUUUUCAGCCAUGAAAAAAAAGCUUCCAUUCACAGCCACAAUUCCCGUGUGUCCACCACAAAAUUCAGUUUUCAAGAAUUCACCUUUUGCAUGAAACUACCAUCAAAGGAAUUCUCCAUAUGCAGCCAUAUAUUCCGUGAUUCAUCCAUGGAGAUUUAUAAAUUCAAGGCCAUUAUCUCCAUUAAACUAUUUUAAAAUUCAUCCAUGGAGAUUUAUAAAUUCAAGGCCAUUAUCUCCAUUAAGCUAUUAUAAAAUUCAUCCAUGGAGAUUUAUAAAUUCAAGGCCAUUAUCUCCAUUAAGCUGUUAUAAAAGUCAUCCAUGAAGAUUUUAUAUGCAAGGCCAUUGAAACCUGAUUGGAAUCAAGUAAUUAAUAUUCACAAAGUGGCUGCCCAUUCUCCAUCAGAAUCAAAGUGUUAACACGGCUGAAAGUGAAUGAAAGCCUUUCCCUUUAACCAAGGCAUCAACACGGCUGAAUGUGUAUAGAAUCUUCUUCAUUAAAUCAAGGCGUCAACACGCGUAAAGGGGAUGAAAUUCCUGCCCGCUUCGAUGGAGAUCUCCCCUCCUUCCCAGAAUAGUGCAGCUGAGUUCCAACCCCCCACCUCAAAAAUCUGAUUCUAAAUGUCUCCGACCUGUUGUGUGUGUAGCUCUCCCGAUCUGACCUGUGCGCGUGUUCUUGGAAAAUCAGAAUUGUGCGUGGACUCCUUCAUGCGGCUGUGGAGACUUCCUGAAGUGGUGUGUGGCUGUUAGUGCGUGGUCCCCAUGCUUGAGAUUCAACUUAAGCACAUGCAUGCAUGGAUUCCUUCAAUGAGAUAUCCUUACUCAUUUUUUGCAUGAGUUUGUUGACGUAAGUUACUAGGGAGAGGGUAAAUCCUUUCUUUCUUUCGCUAUUAGUUGAUCUAAAGGCUUUUAUGGUUAUUGAGUGCACUAGACUAGAAACAUACUUGCCCCAUUAGCAUGCAUAUAACGGAGCAACCAGCCCCCUUCAACAUCUCUCAUAACGUGUUCUACACUGUUGAAAGCUAAAUCCACAUGAGGUGUGUGAUGCAUAGCUAAAAAAACGCCAGUGACUAAAGAUUUUCGGAGAAGUGAUGCAAAACCUGUCUAGUCCUCUCUCACUGCAAGUCAUAGGGCCAGAAAGUCAAGCAUGGCCCAGCCCGUACCUCUCUUUCCUAGCUUCAUCUUGGCUACGCUCGAUCAUGAAACUAUCUCACCUCCGACUUUUUUUCACUAUUUACUCUUCUCUCAUUCAUGCACCAUACAUCUUAUCUGUAAUGAUAAAUUCAGAAUUCAAUCUGCUGUUUCAGUCUUAACCUCAAUGAUUGCUGGUUGAUCCUGAACUUCAUGCUUAUUUGCCCUUUGUGCAACUCUUAUUUUUUUCUUGGAUUGGUGCACAUAUUCUGCUGUUAUAAUAUGGAUCUUGGGAGUAGGCUUACUUGAUGAGGCAACAUUAAAACUUGACCUUUUUCCCGGCUCGGUGGAGAUAUUUCUGAGCCUAUUGUAAGUGGACGGUACAGAGAACAAGAAUGAAAGACUUCAAUAUUGGCUUCCCACAGGUUAUGGGUCCCGUCUGCACUGUCUUGAUGACAUAAUCACAGGGCUUGUAAAUCCGUUGUUUCGGAUCACACAGAAUAUGCAGAUAACAGAACCUUGUUAGCGCCCUCGCCUAAUCCUCCUUGAACGUCUGUAUAAUCAAAAGCCCCUCAUCUUCUUCCCAAGACGUCAAUUUCUUUUUGUAUGGAAGUUUCCAUAUAUUCUUCUAUGGGCAGCAACUUCUUUUCUUCCUUGUAGUCGUGUCUUCCUUAUAUGCAUGGUGGAGGUAACUUUAUAAAAUAAUGCAGCUGUCACUUUCCUUUCUCUAAAAUUUUGGUGAUCUUCCUUCCAAAUAGAUGGCAGCCCGUUUUUUAGAAAAAUAAUAAUAAUAAUCUUAUUUCCAUCCUUCAUUCAGCCGUGAUCUGCUUUCCUUUCUUCAACACUAUAAAUCUCAUUUCCAUGUUGCAUAGAAUAUCCCCACAUAUAUGCAGCCGUGUACAUUACAUCAAGAAUCUUCUCCAAUGUGUGCAUUCGAAUCUCAUGCCAAAAUAAAAAAAGAAUUAAAAUUAGUAAAGGUCAUGAAAUUGAAAAUUAAAACUAAUUUAAAAUUAUGCAAUUAAAAAAACAUUAUGUCUAUCAUAGGUACACAAAAAUAAUUAAGACAUCAGUUUACACAAUUAAUCAUCAAUCUCAUGCAAUAUUCUAUCAAAUAAAUAAAUAAAAACAAAUAACUAACCAAAUAAUAAUAAAUAAACAAGUAAAUAAAUAAAUAAAAUAAAAUAAAAUAGAUAAAUAAAUAAAUAAGAAAUCGAGUACAUGCAAACAUUAAAAGUGCAAAUCAUGCAAAUUAUGUAAGUCAUGUAGGAAUUACUGAAAAGGUGACAUAGGUGGGCCAGGAUGCCUAAGUGGACCUAAAGUGAGUGCGUGUAGGCUAGAAGGUGCCUAGAUGGGUCUAAGCGGGUCAAGGUGAAUCUAAGUGGGCCUAGGGUUGUGCUUAAUGGGCCAAGUGUAUUUAAAAACUAUCCUAAAAAUGAAUGAAAAGCCUAAUUCUAAAUUAAGGCUGCCAAGGGUCACAAUAAGGAGUCAGAUAAUCCCUCAACCAAAGUCUCCGAGAUGGCUCAAAAAAAGUAAGUAGUAUGAGUAGCUAUGGGCCACCAAGGAACUACUGUAAAGUAUCAAAUAAGUAUCUAAUAGGGCAUGUGCUAGGAGGACAAAAUUGAGGGUCUACAAUAGUAUAACUGAAAGUUAUACAAAAUAAUAUUUUAUACCCAGAAGCUAUAAAAUGAAUAGUUCAUAGCUUGAAAUUAUGCACAAAUCUGCACAAUGAAUAGUUUAUAGCCUAAAGUUAUGCACAAAUUUAUAUAAAAAAUAGUUCAUUGCCUAAAACUAUGUACAAAUUUAAAUAUUUUCUUGUUCUAACAAAAUAAUCAUAACUUGAAGCUAUGAAAGAUAUUAACUUUUAAUUUCUUUAUUUUCUUUUAAUUAUAUUGUUGUGGACCCCGCAUUUCGGCUCAAUGUGUUUCCCACUCGAUGGCGAGCUCGAUUUUUAUUAUUUUUGAAAAAUUGAUUUUUAUUGAUUAUUUGAAAAUGACUUGGAGUCGCCACUUAUUUUUGUUUUAUUUUUAAAGGGUAAACAAAAUAAGAAAGAAAAACCCUAAGUGUGACUCCUCAUUUUGGAAAAGGUGAUCUACGAAAAUCGGAUCAGGUUCGGGGGUCAGGUUACUUAUCGGGAAGGUACGGUAAAGACCGUAGCACCCCUCUAAGUCCCUAAGUCGGGUCUCUACUAAUGAGAUGAAGCUGACAUGGCAAUCAAUGAGAAAAUCAAUAAAUACUCGAACCAAUCAUGCACAUAUGAGAGUCAGAAAAUGCAUAUAAACUAACCAGAGUGGGAAUGAAUGUGUACCUGAGCAGCGAGCCACUAUGCGCUAUCAAGAGAGAGGGUUAGUGCAAAAUAAAGAGCAUAAACAUAGCUCACAUGUCACUAAAUCGAGUACAAAAUCAUCAAAGGCACGCAUGACACUUCACUCAAAAUUCAUUUUUAUUUUAAAGAAAAUUUAUUUGAUGUUGGGCCCUCACCAAAGCCCAUUUAUUUUGCACGAAUCAAUUCCAUAAAUCCCAUCACCUGAGAAUUACAAAAUUUGAUUUUUGGCUUAUUUUAAAACAUUUUAAAAUCAGAGAAGUUAUGAAAGUUGCAUGCCGAAGAGAGAUGGCGGCAAAUUUUAUUAAAAACAGAAUUUUGGAACCUAAAGAAAACCUAAGGAUGAAAGAUGGUAAAUAUUGAAAUUAUUUGAAAAUCGAUGUUUAAAAAAGUUAUUUGCAAGAAAGGAGUCAGAAAAUUAUUUUCUAAGCCAAAAGAUUGAUGGAAUGGGAGGUGACACGUGACCCAAAGGUGGCCAUGCAGAGAAAAUCCCAUUAUUAACCCACUUUGAAGGAGUGUUCUUUCUCUUAUUUCCUUUCUCAGUACAACGAGCCUGAUUUGAGGAAAAAACUGAGUCAACUUCCAGAUUUAGGGCCUCUCAGCAAUCCUUGAUUUGAUCUAUUCUGGGUUCGACAAAAGAUCUUCCCUCUGCAUCUCAAUCUCUCUUUCCUGGUUCACAAUCUCCUUGGGAACAUCUUCUAUAACAAGAGAUUGCACUUGAGGACAGGCAACAACUUGCAUGGCCAGGUCAUCAAUUAGCUUCACUUCUUAUCUCUCAAUUCGCAUCUUCAACAGUUUUCAAGCAUAGAGUCUCCUUUCCAGCCUCACCUUGGCCUCCUGAGUUCCAUUGCUUCUUGCAUCACUCGCCUCGCUUUACAGCAUGUGAAGUCCUGUACUUCCACUGGAGCCCAUGCUAAACUGGCUAUGGAUGGCUUGAUGGAGUUGCUGCCGAAGAUGAAAUGAGUAAAGGGCCCCUAAGUUAAACCCAUCAUGUCGUCCCAUAGGAAAAUGCUGAAAUUGCAUCAUAGAUACAACACUAUCACAAAGUUAUUCUUUCCGGUGAGGGUCCAUAGGAAAAUCAGUAAUUCCACCCUUAAAUCCUGGUAAUACAGGAAAAUCUUCAUUCUGGAUACUGAAUUCUCAGUUUUGAUGGACAACUCCAAUGCUUUGUUUCCACAGAGAACCCAGCUAUCCUUGAAAACUACCAGCAGAAUUGGGGUGAGCGAUCAGUUGGGGAAGACAGCAACAACACGCACUGAAUUUGUGACGAAACAUCUGAAAAGCGGGAUACUAGCUGAUGAAGAGUGUAGCUGAACAAGUGAUGAGAAAAUUACUGACAGCACGGUGUGGGUCGCCAUGGAUGGCACUCUAUAGACGGGACUGUGGUCUGGGAAUGAGGCUCUCCGAUGUGAAUAAUCGGUAUCUUAAAGGCAGUCUCAUCAGUUAUAACUUGGGGAUGCAAACCGCACACCCAUAUCAAUGAAACCAAUGAUAACAUACUCUUGAUCCUUGAUGGAAUAUCAAUCUAACGACAUAGGAAUCCCAGGUCAAUCUGUGAAACAAAGGGACCUCAAGGUGAAUGGUCAGCAGUGCAUUUUCGUCGUCCUCACGGAAAUUGAUGUCACAAACGGGCCUUCAUGAUUGGAUUUUCCUUUUCACUGUUCCAUUGAGGAUGGUAUUUCCCAUGCAUUUUUCCAUUUUGCAUGAAGAUGAGAAACUUCAGAACAAAUCUCAGCAGCAUAUGUACGUGCCAAAUCCUCUCUGAAAAGACACGGUUGCGAAACAGAAAGAGUGACCCCCAUUUACAAAAUCUGACGAAAGGCACAGUCGAUGUUUGGUCUGAAAUGAGUAUCGGAGCUGGAUAAUGAAAGGGUGAUGAGUUGGAGUGGUUUUGGGUGCUAAUGUAGAGUGAGAACUGUGAUGACGGGUAUCAGUGGGUGAUGGCAUCCAUGAGUGAGAAAUGGAUAUGCAUGAAGGGGUGUGGUGUAGAAAUGGAAAAGGUGGCGGAGGAUUCAUGAAGGUGUAGGGCUAUGGGCAUGGUGGUGUGGGAUUCCAUGAUGUGGAGAUAAGAGUGUGGGCAUGGUGAGGAUCUUACAAGUUGAUGGAAAAUGGUGAGAGAGGAAUGGAUGAUGAAUUGCAUGAAAAGUGGUUUGCAUAUGGUACAACAGUGGGAGAAAUGUGUAGGUGGGUAUGCGGUACAAAAAAAGGAAUGGGUAUAGCAAGCAUGAGGUGUGAUAGCUGGUGCAUGAUGACAAGAGUGAUGGUGAGCUUGAGGUGGGUUUGAUGCCGUGGAUGCAUGCAUGGGAGUGAUGGUAUGAGAUGUUGGAAGUGGGCAUGGGAAUGGUGGUCAAUGAGAAGGGUGAUCACACAAAUGAUGGAUACGAGUAUGGGGUAACAUGAUGAGCAAGCGGGCAUAGAGAAUAAAGAUGAAGGGCCCAAACCAUACUUCACCAGCUAUCUUAAGAUAAUCCAAAUCACCAGCACUAAGGGGUUGCCUUGAAGAGAGGAGUAAACUGUGAAUCUGAACUUGAUAUUUUGCCAUAAUCAACAGAGGGUCGUGCCAACAUGAGAGACCCAAAGACAGAACCAAUACCACUUCCAACAACACUGAAGACCUGAAUAACUUGAAGAUCGGUACAGUUAUUAGCCAGGUUUCUGAUGCAAUUUGAACAGAGGUUGAUAUUCUCUUUCCCAAUGAUAUAAUGGCCACAGGCAAAGUUAUUGAUAGCGUCCUCCUUGACACUGAUGAAUUGCUCUGAACGAAAAGGGUUGCCUGUGUGCUCCAAGCUCCACUUAAUUAGUUACAGUAGGCUCAAAGUAUGCUGGAUUGGCACGAAAGACAUGCUCCCUAGCAUCGGUUUCAUCUCAAUCUCUUUUGGAUGACCAUAAUAGGUACCAAAGAAGCCAUGGUUGCUCAACCUGGUUCGAAUCUUCCCAAAGACUCUAGUACCGAUUUCCCUUAGAAACGCCCAAUCUCAAACGGCCGAUCCAAACAAAACAACCAACACUCCAAAAGAAUACCAAAAACAGAGGAGAAAAUAUUGAAAGAAUGACACAAAAUAAAGCGAGGAAAGCAUAUUUUCAGAAGUUUCAUUUCAUGAAUCAUCCAUGAACCCUCUGAUUAGGUGAGAAAGACCCAUCUCCCAACACGACUACAAGCACUCAGCAUAACAGAGACUAUCAUACUCAAACCAGCAGUGGAUAAAAAUGAAUGCAAGAUUUAAUCUCAACAAACAACAAAGCCGCCUUCAUUAUCUACCCCAAAACAAACCAAAUGAGUAUCCAAAUAUCAAAAAAAAAAAUAUGUAGAAGAAUGACAAACGUACCUGAAAAUCUCUUUCUCAACCAAGUAUAUGGGGCUUCAAAUCCACUGCUCUGUUUCUAGCUUGCUCUUUAAGUCAAAACCUUCCUCUGUAACUUGUUUGCCUUCCCAGAGUUUGAACCUCUUUGCUUCCUCAAAACUCAAGAAGACCUCUCUUCUCAAAACAAUAUCCUCCUAAACGGUCAGAAAAAUUACCUUUUCUCUCCUCUCAGACUAACACUCUCUCCUCCCCCUCCCCCAAUGGAACCUCUCCUAUUCUCUCUCCUCUAUUUUUCCUCCAGUAGCAAAAACUUGAAUCUCAAGCAAGAAAAUCGUCUCUGAAUGUGAAUCUCUCCCCUCUCCAGCCAAACUUCGGGAAGGAAACCACACUCCUCACAGCAGAAAAAUGGCUAUCACCCUCACUCUCAGUAAGAAAACUCUCCCAAGAAAAAAGCUCUCUCCCCCUAGAAAAUCUCCUUUCGCAGCCCAGGCACUUCACCUUCUGAAACUUAGAACUCUCUGAAAAACCCCGCCUGGAACCCCCACUCUCUUGACCUCCAAGCCAAAGGAAAAUCCCCCUCACGGCUCUCUCAUCACUGCAAAAAUCCCGCACCUCCCUCCAGAAUAUCUUUUUUUUUUUUUUUUUUCUCCUCUAUAACAACUUUUCUUUUUCUCCCGGAUUUGCCCCUCCAACCCACUCUGCCGCAACAGCCCCCUUCCUCUACACCACCCCUCUGCUAAUAACAGAAGACGCUCCUCAAGACAACGGCCUGCAGAUCCUCAUGCCACCUGUCAACCUUCCAUUGGCAUCCUAAAAGCAUCAUCUGAUUCUGCACCAGCCUCUCAAGAGAAGACACGUGGUGGAGCAAGGCUCUUCCACGUGGCAAAAUGAGCAGCUGCCUGAAUGGCCCCAAAUGGGGGGUCUACAAUUGUGUAACUGGAAGUUAUACAUAAAUAGUUCAUAGUCUGAAGUUAUGCACAAAUUUACAUUAAAAAAAAAAGUUGAUAACCUGAAUCUAUGUAUAAAUUUGCAUAUUUUCUUGUUUUGACAAAAUAAUUAUAACUCAAAGUUAUGAAAAAAUAUUGGCUUUUAAUUUUUAUUUCGUAUUCACUUAUUUUUCACAAUAGAAAUUAUGGAAAACAAUUUUUAUUAACAAUUCUUUCAUAGCCAGAAACUAUGCAAACAAUUUCUAAUUCUCUUGUAUAACCAGAAGUUAUACAAAACAAAAUUGUCAAUGAACAACUAUGUACCUAGAAGAUAUAUAAUUUUUUUUAAAAUUUUGUUAUAUAACCAGAAGUUAUAUCAUAAUAUAAUUGUCAAUUGUUUAAUGUUAUUGUAACAUUACUUAAAUUUUAAUUAUUCAUAACCUGAAGCUAUGAAGAAAAAGUUAGUAAAUUAAUAAUUGUUAGAGCUUGUAUAGCAAGAAGUUAUAUGAAUAUAUAUAUAUAUAUAUAUAUUAUAUAACCAAAAGUUAUAUAAAUAUUAUUAUUCAUAAACCGAAGUUAUGAAAAUAAGAAAAUUAAUAUUCUUUGUGCUAAUAAAAUGUUAUGUCAAAGUUGGUAAUAUGUACUUUUUUAUAGUUAGAAGCUAUAGAGAACAAAAUUGUUAACUAACAAUUUUGUACAACUUUAUGAAAUUUAUAUGACCAAAACUUAUAAUGAAAUAUAUUAUAGCUUGAAGCUAUGAUAACAAGCAUAUAGAUAAUAUUUACAUAUUAUCAAAAGAUUAAUAUUUUGUAUAUCAAGUUAUACAAAUAGACAAUUGUUUGAUAGUUUUUAUAAAUUUCUAUUAUUAGAAGUAUACUGUCAUUAGUAGAAAAAUUUAUAUAUAGAUGUGGAAUUUUGAAUUGCAUGAAAGUAUGAUAUUUUUGUAUUAUAGGUGAUAGUUUGGAAUAUUUUUUUUAUUCUAGUUAUUUAAUAUACAAUAAUAUUUUGAUUUAGAAAUUUGAGAUUUUUUGGGUACAUGUGAAAUAUAUGACUUGGUCAUAUGAUUAAUAAAUUGAUUUCGCAUGUCUUAUUUGUUUAUAACAUGUUUUUAUGAUUGAAAAUUUUUGAGUUGUAUAAAAUAAUAUAUAUUAUUGCAUGUUGUCACAUAUGAUAUUUUUAUUAAUGCAUUAAUUUCAUUAUUCAAGAAUAUCUUUUCAGAAACAAUACAUUCAACUAUUAUUUUUAAUAUAUUAUGUUAUAUCUUUACAUACAUAUUUAUAUAGAUUUGUAAUGUUUCGAUUUAAGUUUUGAAACAAUAAGAUGCUUUAAAUCAUGAUAUGUUCUUUUGAAAUUUUGAUUUAUGAAUUAAUUUCUGCACAUUGAUUUAUAUCGUAAUAAUAUUUUGAAUAAAAAUUAUUGAUCUAUCACUACAAUUAGUUUGAUUAUUGAAAGACUUCCUAGUUAUUUCAUAUAUAAAUUGUUCCACACUUAUAAAAUCAAAUGUGUGAGAUAUUUAAGAAACAAAUAACUUUAAAUUAUCUUUUUCAUAUUUGUUUUGUUGUGUUAUAUAUGCUUUCAUUGUUUUUACACAACUUAUUAAGGUAAGUCAUCAUCGAUGACUAGUAUAUUUCCAUUUGAUUUUAACUCUUUUUCUAUGAUAAUAUUUCUUCAACUCUAUAAAGGUGAGGUCUUUAUGACAUGUUUUAUGACUUGUUAUUUUGAUGAAACUCUUGUCUCAUUAAUUGCACAACAUUGAUGACAGACAAUGUUAAUACUAUAUCAGGUGAUAGAAACCUAAUUAAAGGCUCCAGAAUAACUUAUACUAUGUCAUUAGUAGUAUUUGAUUCUAUGUGAAUGACACUUUAUACGAUGCUAGAUCCAGAAGAAUCUUGUAAGACCAACUUAGUUCCCCAUGGUAAAAGGUCGUAUGGAUGUACAUUAUAAAACCAGAAGUUUUUAUUUUGUAACUAGUCUAUCUAUACACUUGAAAGAUAGAAUGACACGUUGUGCAAAUUAUCAUUUUAAUUAGACAAUUUUCUCGCCGUUAGGGGUAGAAGAGUCAAUUCCAGAAGAACAGCGUGAAAUUAUUUGGAAUGCAUUGACUUUGACUUAUCUUGAUCCUCGUACUAAUCAAUGUGAAGUGGAAGUUCAAAAGAUUAUUUAUUUGCAAGAACUUGUAAAUCAACUACUAAAUGUUUUCAUUGAUGCAAAGAAAGUGACGAUCAUUUUCACUUACCUAGAACAUUCCAGUACGAAUUAAUGUCCCUGAAUGACAAUUAAAUAAUGCGUUGAUGUCCCUGAAUGACGAUUAAAUAAUGAGUUGAUGUCCCUGAAAGACAAUUAAAUAAUGAGUCUAAUGCACACUUGUAGACCCCCUUUUAGGUCAUUCCUACCUUGCAGCUCAAUUUUACCACGUGGAAGAGCCUUGGUCAGCCACGUGUCAGCACCUGAGAAGCCAUGAGAGAAUCAUAAUAGUGGUUUGGGGAGCCAAUCAGGAGGUGACGCGUACAUGGGAAUAUACUGGCCGUUAGAGGAGCAGAUGCUGGCAGCUGGAGGUGAGGUGCUUUUGGAGAGGUUGCCAGCUGCAGGAAGGGGGUGUCGUCUGGCAGCUAGAGGAGCUCUCUGAGCAGGCCGUUAGAGAUUUUUUUUAGGUGAGAGAGGGAAGCUAAGAAGAGGAAAAAAAAAGUCAGAGGAGAAAGGGGUGAGAGUUUGAGGAGAGUUUGAGAGAGAAAAGAGAACCUGAGGGAAAACGAGACAAGAAGGCUGGUGAUAGGGAAGCUGACAGCUGCGGGAAGGUGGUCCGGGCUGCCGUUGGGUGAUUUUUCGAAGGAACGUUUGAGGCUGGAAUAGAACAUCGGCACUCUCAGGUAUGAAAGCAAAAGGUUUAUUGUUAGUUUUUUAUUCUUAUUGAUCCUCCAUAGUUGCUGUUGAUAUUUUGAAUGUUGUUUAGUUUGUUGGGAUGAAAUCUUGCUUUCACGGUUGUCAUUGCUGAUUUUGGUAUACUCUGCUUCUAUUAUGAAUGUGCCUCAAUGUUGUGUUUAAAAUGGAUUUUCUCACCUAAUCAAAGGGUUCAUGGAUGGCUCAUGAAAUGAAACCUCUGAAAACCUUUACUCGUUUUCUUUUUGUGUUUUUUUUUGUUUUGUUUUUUUUAUUUCAAUGGGUCCUUCUUUUGUUGUGGCCAAUAUUCUGCUUCUGGGUCUCGUUUAAUGCCAUGGCUGUGAGAAGAGGUUAUUUUGGGUUAAAGAAGCAAACAAGUUGCAUGAGGCUACUUUUGGCUGUUAGAGGGGAAUAUUUUUGAGGGAGUAUUCUUUCUGGGAAAGGGAAAAACGAGUUGUUGAAGCAGCUCCACACCAGAAAAAGGUGAAGGGAAUAGAGACGGAGCCCUUGCAGAAAGAGUGAACCCAUCUUUGAACUCUAUUCAGCUCACGUUUUGACCCAAAAUCUAUUCAAUAUCACUGAAGACAACGUGGGAAAUCUCUGUAUGUCACUCGAAACUGAACAGUAGAAGAAUUUGUGGGACGAUAUUGAGGAAGUAGAAAGGCUUGAAUGUAUUAAAAUUCUCAGAGGUGUACUAUGCACCAGGGCCUGUCUUGAGGGGAUAGUUUCUUGGCUAGUUUCAUGCUGGUAUUGGGAAAAGUAUUGGGGUGCUGCUCAUGACUUGAGUGAGGGAGAGAGAUCUACAAAGAGGGAAGUUGCUGGUUUUGACGACAUUAGAGGAGGAUUCAGGGCAUUUAAAACAGAGGAGGUUUCUGGAAAGAACAAGGAGGGCAUUGUGAGGGAUUCUGGCAGAGAGCGAGAGGGGAGGAUUCUGUUAGCUAGGGGACAGUUUCUUUGCCUGAGGGCAAGUUGUAGGGAAAAGGGGGAGAGGAAGAAAAGGAAAACGGGUGGCAGCUGAGAGGAUUUGUGAGGAGAAUAGGAUGCACAGUUGAAUGACAUGCAGCCAUGGAACUCCGUGCCUUUGAUUUUGGUGUGCCUUAAUGGAGGAAUUAUUUUUUUAAUGAGAGAACUCACAUGUGGCAGUUCAAUGGCUGAAAUUCUUCAAAAAAAAAAAAAAAAGUCAAUGAGUUAAAGUGGUUAUACAUGGAGAAAUUAAUGGUUGAAAUUCAAACGGGUGUACGUGGUGGGUUUUUGGAAAUUCAAUGAUGAAUAUUCAAGGCAUUUGAUAGUGCACAUCAACUAGCGAGUCGGCAAUCCGGAUGCACAGUUUUUGGUUUGUUUUUAUUAAUUUCACUUGCUUUUCAUAUUUUAAUUUUUCUUUUAAUAGAAAAUUGUUCGAGUGACUUUGGUUUGCUUUUAAAGAUCGAUUUUAAAUUCUACUUUAAUGUUUAAUUCUUUAACUUCUUUUAAUUCAUCCUUAGCAUUCCUAAUUUACUAAAAUCCAAUCUUAAUAAUCAUCCUUAGCAUUCCUAAUUUACUAAAAUCCAAUCUUAAUAAAUCAUUUGUUAUCGUAUUUCUUUUCCACUUAUGCAUGAAUUGCAUGGCCACCUUUUAGGCCACGUGUCACCUACUGUUUCAACAUCUUCGACUAAAACCCUCUUUUGUAAAUAAUUUUUAAAUUCUGUUUUUUUUUUUAAAUAAUCCUAAAAUCUAGGUUUUUUUUUUAAAAAAUUUCAAAUAACUUCAAUUUUUUUUUGAAUUUCAUCAUUAGAGUUUUUAGGUCCCGAAAAUCCGUUUUCCAAUAAAAUUCGUUGCCAUUUUUCUUCGGCAUACAUUUUUCGUUACUUCCAUGCUUUUAAAAUAUUUUAAAACAAGCAUAGAUUCAAUUCCGUAAUUCCGAAUAACAGGGUUUAUGGAAUUAAUUCAUGCAAAAUAAACGGGCUUUGGUGGGGGCCCCACAUAUGUGAUUUAUGAUCGAUUAACUGAUUGAUUGAUUUAAUUGUCAUGCAUGAUUGAUUUAUUCUGCUCUAUGACAUGCUCGAAAUUAUUUCUUAACUAUGCACUAACCCUCCUCUUGAUAGCGCAUAUUGGUUCGCCACCCAGGUAUGUAUUUUCCUGCAUCAUGGUCACUCCUUAUGCUUGUUUCUAAUUCUCAUAUGUGCAUGAUCGAUUUGGGUCUUCAUUGAUUUUCUCAUUGGUUGCCAUGUCAACUUCAUUUUAUUAGUAGAGACCCGACUUUAGGGACUUAGAGGAGUGCUACGGUCUUUACCGUACCUUCCCGAUAAGUAACCUGACCCCCGAACCCGAUUCGGUUUUUUGUAGAUCACCUUUUCCAAAUAAGGAGUCACACUUAGGGUUUUUCUUUCUUAUUUUGUUUACCCUUUUGAAAAUAAAACAAAAAUAAGUGGCGACUCCAAGUCAUUUUCUUAAUCAAUAAAAAUCAAUUUUUCAAAAUAAAAAUCGAGCUCGCCAUUCGAGUGGGAAACGCAUUGAGUCGAAAUGCGGGGUCCACAACACUUGAAGCGUGGUAAACCCUGAAAAGGCAAACAAAUUCCUUUAAAAGAAAAACACAAGGAAAGAUAUAUGAAAUGUGACACUCUUGAAGAAGUCGCAUAUAAAAUGAGUUAUUAAAAUGAUUGAUCAAUCUCAAGCAGCCCCUAAAGAGGCACAGUUUAAACAAGUAGCCUUAUGAUAGGUAUAUGUUUAAUAAUUAGUUCCUGAAAAUGUACAAGUACCUGAUAUUGAUGAGAUCUCAAUUAUUUACUUAUAUAUGAAAAAAAAAUGGGAUUGAAAUACUCUUGUCAUUAACAAUAUAUUUUCUUUCCAAAUAGCUGUUGACAUCAUAAGAAUUGAUGAGGAUCCCAAAGUAGAAACUAUGAAUGAAUGUCAACAUAGAAAAGAUUGGCCAAAAUGGAAAGAAUACAUCCCAAAAAAAUUAUACUCAUUAGAAAAAUGAGAAGUAUUUGAACCUGUAGUCCAAACGCCUGAAGUUGUCAAACUUAUUGAAUAUAAAUGAGUAUUUAUAAGAAAGUGUAAUGAGAAAAAUGAAAUCACGAUAUAUAAAAUGUGACUCAUAGCUCAAGGUUUUCCGCAGAAACCUAGUAUUAACUAUGAGGAAACAUAUUCUCCUAUGAUGGACGCAACCAUAUUUAGAUAUCUAAUUUGUUUAACAGUCUUAGAAUGACUAGAUUUGCGUUUCAUGAAUGUCAUUAUUGCAUAUUUACGUGAAUCUUUAGAUAAUCACACACACACACACACACACACACACACACACACACACACAUACAUAUAUAUAUAUAUAUAUAUAUAUAUAUAUAUACGAAAAUCCUUGAAGGAUUUCAAAUACUUGAAGCAACUAAUUCAAAAUAUUGUAGCAUAUACUCAAUUAAGUUACAAAGAUCCUUGUAUCAAUUAAGCAAUCUAAAAACAUGUGAUACGAUCACUUCAAUGAAUAUUUGAAGCGAGAAGUAUGUAUGUAUUACCUUAUUUAUUUAUACAUAUUCAUUAUAUUGAAUUUUUGCAAUUAUUAUAGUAUAUGUGGAACAUUGAAUUUUUUUGGAACUCCUGAAGAGCUUACAAAAAUAGUUGACUAUUUAAAAAUUAAAUUUUGAAAUGAAAGAUCCUGGAAAACAAUUUUUUUUUCCUCGACCUGCAGAUCGAGUAUUUUUCAAACGAAAUAUUAGUUUAUUAGUCAACAUAUACAAAGAAAUUCUUGAAGCACUUUCAUAUGGAUAAAUCACAUCCAUUAAGUUCUCUGAUGAUAGUUCAUUCACUUGAAGUGAAAAAUGACCCUUUUUGUCCUAAAGAAGAUAAUAAAAAACUAUUUGGUCCAAAAAUACCAUAUUACAGUGUUAUUGGUGCAUCGAUGAAUCUUGCAAAUUAUACAUGACCAGAUAUUGCAUUCCUUGUUAAUUUACUUGUGAGAUAUAGUUCUACACCAAUUCAAAGACAUUGGAAUAAAAACAAGCAUGUACUACAAUAACAUGGGUCUAUGUUAUUCCAAAUGAUCAGAAUCUUAAGUGCUUGAAUAUGUAGAUGUUGACUAUCUUUCACACCCCCACAAAGCUCGAUCUUAAAUGAGGUAUGUAUUUAUCUAUGGUGGUACGACAAUAUCAUGGAGAUCAAUCAUGCAAAUAAUGGAAACAUGUGGACUACCCUCCAUCAAAGGUAAUGCUACCAAGUUAAUAAUGCUGCAUGUAUUGCACAAAUUAAAGAAUGAUACAUUAAGGGUGAUAGAAUUAAGCACAUAUCGUCCAAGUCUUUUACUUUCAUUAACUCAAGAAUAGUGAUGAAAUUGCUAUUCGACGAAUAAAAUCAAGUGGCAAUUUAGUAUAUCUAUUCACAAAGGCAUUGUCAAUUACAAUACUCAAGAAGCUCAUUGGAAUACGCCGACUCAAAGAUCUCCAUGUUGUACUACUAGAGAAAAUAUAAUCAUGUCAACAUGAGGGGGAGCUAAUUGAUAAAAAUAUCACUACGCUACACUCUUUUUUCCUUCAUCCAAGUUUUGUCUCAUUGGGUUUUACUGGCAAGGUUUUUAAUAAGACAAUUGUGGUAAUCCAAAAAAAUAUUGUACUCUUUUUCUUUCACUAGGGUUUUUCCUAGUAAGGUUUUAAUGAGACAUAUUCUUAUGAUCAUACAAGGAGGAGUAUUAUAAAAUAUGAGAUUUUGUAUCACUAUGGUAACUUGUGGAUGAUCAUUCAUAUUAAUAUACAUCUCUUUGUAACUCCCUAUAAAAGGGAGAUACCUCUAAUGAAAAUUAAUCUGGUUCUCUUCCAACAUUUUGUUAUACUUUUCUUUGAAUAUCUUUGUUUAUUCUCUCAUAUUUUCUUUUUCUUCUUCUUUUUAUUUCACAACUGUGGACCCGCAUUUUUCACGUGCGCCCCCACUUGAUCGACGAGACUCGCUUUUUAUUGUGAAAAAUUAAUUUUAAAAAAAAGUUGGAGUCGCCACUUAUUUUAUUUUUUAUUUUUGAAGGGAAAAUAAAACAAGAAAUAAAACCCUAAAAAAAAUGACUCCAUAAUUUUUGGAAAAGCGUGUCUUUGAAAACCCAAGUCUUGGUCCGGGGAUCAGGUUACUUAUUGGGAAGGUACCUCUAGGAGGUAGCACCCCUCUAAGCCCUAAAGAGGUCUCUACUAACUAAGUUAAGGGAAGCGUGGCAAUUAAAUGGUUGACCUCGGGUACCUAAGUAGGCUAGGUGAUUCCAAAAAAAACAUAACAUAUCAAACAAAAUCAAAUCACAAUUAAGGAGAGUUAAAAAUGCGUACCUGGACAGCCUCCCAAGCGCUAUCAUAAAACAUAAGAGAUUAGUUUGGAGAUACAUCACACAACAUUGUUUUAUCAAAGAUAAUCAAACAAUCAUCAAAUGUAUAUCAAGGCAAUUAAAGAGGAUAGCAAGCAUGGGCAUACAUAUUCAUAGGGUUUAGAAAGUGGGUAUUAGGGAACGUACCUGGAUAGCAUAUUUAAUUCCUAAUGCGCUUCCACAAAACAUGAGAGGUUAGAUAACAAACAAUAAAAUAAGAAGUCCUAGCAUGCUCGUUAUCUAAUUAUCAUAGCAUAAAUUGUCAAAAUAUAUGAAAACAAUAAUUAUCACACUCAUCUUGUAUACAAUUUCUAAAAAAAAGAUAGAUAUAAUUUCAAAAAGUGACAAAAAUGGCAACAAAAAUAAUUUUUGAAAAGAUUUUCUUAUGUAGGGGUUUCACCAAUUCCCCAAAUUAAUAUACACAAAUUUAGCCCAGAAUUAUCCCAUUAUUUGGGACCACAAGCUUUGAUUCGUGUUUUUGUUCAAAACCAAACUUUUUGUUAGAAACUGAGAAGGAUGCAAACCGAACAAAAAAAUGGUUGCAUAUUAUUUUAAGAAAAUGAGAUUUUUUUUAUUCCAAGGACUCUAAAUGAAUUUUUUUUUUAAAAUAGGUUUUUAAAGGGAUCUUUUAAGGAAAGUGUUGGAUUUCAAAAUAAAAAGAAAUUAAUUUGAAAAUGACAAGACAUAAGGAACAAAAUACCAAGCAAAACAAAAGUGAUUAAAAUCGCAAAGUAGAGUUUUUGACAACUGAGAAAAUUGAAGUGGUGAGAAUGGAGGUCAAUCUUCCCUAUUUUCCGAUGGCCUCCGAAAAGUAAAUUUUACUAGAGAUUACCAAAGCAAUAAACUACUCAAACUCAGGUCAAAUAAGCUAACGAGAUACCCACCAAGAAUUAAUGACGAAUAUUUAAGAAACACAUCCAUUAAGAAUAAAAAUCAAGAAUUAGCAUGAGAUCAAUUAACCACACAAACACAUCUAGAUUUAUUAAAAUGAGACAAAUUAAAUCAAAGCAAACAAUAAUUUUCAAACAUAGAAUUAACUUUAUUAAUGAAGUAAUUUUAUAUAAAAUACUUAAAUCGAAUAGAUGAGUGAAACUAAAUCAGGGUAAACUAAAGGCAUGAAUUUUCAAAUAUAGAAUUGAUUUUAUUAAUGACCUAAAAUUUUACAAACUCCUAAAAUACUUAAAAUGAAUCAAUUUAAACAAAAGGAAACUAAAACAAAAUAUGGAUUUAGGGAAUCUAAUUUCAAAAUAAACUUACAUUAUUAAAAUGAAACCUAGGCUUAAAAUGAAUUAAACACUAAUUAAAGUCAAUCUAAACUUAAAUUCUUAACAUACAUGAUCAAUUAUUUUAACAAAUUAAAAUUUUACAAGAGCACCUAAACCUAAAGUUAUAUAAAAACACUAACAAGAACAGAUUUUUAAAAUUAAAUCUCUAACCUAUAAAAAUUAGUUUUAUUAAUAAAUAAAUGAAAUAGGUAAUGCAUGACUAAAUAAGUAUAGCUAAAACAAAAUACGGACUCAUGGAAUUAAUUUUUUUUUUUUUUUUGUGUAUAAACUUACAUUACUGGAAUAAAAUUUGAGCUUAACAAAUGUUUUUAACACUAAUUAAGGUAAGUUUAAAAUCUAAUAUUUAACAUAUAAAAAUCAAUCAUUUCAACAAACUAAAAUUUUACUUAAACCUAAAACCAAUUCAACCGACCUACAACAAUUUUUUUUUUUUUAAACUGAAUUUUUAGCCCAUAGGAUCAAUCUUAUUAAUAAAUAAAUAAAUUACAAAGAAUUAAAUUAAUAGCAAAUAAAUAAAUAAAUAAUCAAUAAUUAAAUGAAUCAAAACUAAAUUAAAUAAAGAUCAACUAUAUAUUUUUUUUCAAGUAAAGCUACAUAAAAUUGUAUUUUAUGAAUUGAAUAUAAUACAUCAAAACUAACCUUAAACAACACUAAUCUUUAAUGUAAUAAAUCAAAAAAUUAAACAAAAAGUGAGAUUGUGCUCCCAUAUUAAAACGAAUACAUGCUGGAGCCAAUAAAACAAAUCAACCCACUCAACCCAAUAUAAUAAUCCAACUUUAAAUAGUACAUCACAAGACAUCAAAGUUCCACCCAAUGUAAUAAAUAAAUAAAAAAUUAAACCAAAAGUGAGAUUUUGCUGCCAUAUGAAUACAUGUUGGAGCCAAUAAAACAAAUCAACCCACUCAACCCAAUAUAAUAAUCCAACUUUAAAAAGUACAUCACAAGACAUCAAAGUUCCACUAAAAACUCAUAAAAAAAUAACUAACUUACCUAGUUGGCUUACCAAAAAAAACCUGGUGGCAUGUAGUUGCUUUCUCUUCCCUAAUGAUGCUCGGGAACAAUGGUAUUGGUUGAUGGGAACUGAUGAGUUUUGGUUCUUCAGCCAAUACUCUUAUUUCAAAUCAACAAAGCUCGUCUCAAGGAACGGUAAGUAUAAAUUUAAGAACCCCGCAACUGGUUUUCAAUUAUUUUGAUAGCCAAUAAAAAAUGGAUAAUGUGUUCCAGAAGUUGGACGAACAUGAGGACGUAUGGCAGGAGAAUGGAGAAAAGCAAAUGUGCGGCCUGGUUGUGUAGUUGACGAUGAUGGGAAUUGGAGGAUUCUCUGUUUUUAAGGAUAUGUGGAUGGAUGGACUGCUGUCCAGAUGGUUCUCGAUUUUCAACCAAAGGAAGAUUCAGAAGACUCAUGCGACAGGAAAAUUCAGAUGACGCAAACACCAACUUCGGCCUGGCUACGUCAACUUCAGCAGCGGGGUUGACCAAAACGAUCUGGGUGUUCAGGAUCUAACCAUUGGUGAGUUCAAAUGUUGUCUCCCUUCUUUCCCUUCCAAAUCUUCCCGUUCCCUCUCCUCUAUACCUUCCCAAUCGCGGGGUGAAUAGCCGAUGAAUCACCAAACAGUUGCGUAUGUGGGUUUCCCCAAAACAACUUAUCUCUGCUCUAAAAAAAAAAACCUCCCUCUCUCGUGUGUCUUCCUUCCUUUUCUUUUCUUUUCCUUCUUCUUCCUCUUUUCUCAAUCUCUCCGACUCCUCUCUAGCCACCAGUGAUCGAAGGCACCGUAGCCAAGGUUUUCCUCUUUUCUGAUCAUUUUUUUUUCUCUUCUUGAAUGCAAAAAAAUAUUUUCUUUCUUUCCUGGUGCAGCUGCCACUUCCCUCUAGAGAAUCAUUUCCUUCUCAAUGGUCCCGUUGACUCUACCAAUAUGGAAAAAAUCCCUCACCGGUCUAGAGAAAACCCGUAAUCUUCCGCAUCAGUCCAACAUGAUUAGAACCCUACAUUUUGAACCUAGCCUUCAUUUCCAUCCCUAUACACACCGAACAUCUUCUUUUCACCUGCCAAAAUCAGCUUUGGUAAGUUUCUAAACCUUCCCAUCUCUCUCUUUCUUCCCUUUUUCAUAUCUGUCUUGGGUUGAAUGCUCUUUCAAAUCACGGUCGAAUCUCCCUUCCAUAGAACCCUGCAAUAAAAAUAGUAAAAACAAAAUCAUCCAAUUAAAUAGUAAUAAUAAUAAUAAUAAUAAUAAUAAUAAUAAUAAAUAAAUAAAUAAAUAAAUAAUAAUAAUAAUAAAGAUGAUUAAUCAUAUACAUGUACAAGAUAACCAAAAUAUUAUUUCAUGAUAAAGAAACAUAACGUUAGUAUCUUAUAAUCUCCUAAAAAUAAAUAAAUACAAGAACAAAUAAACUAAAACCCACUUAAAACAAAAAUCAAACAAAUAGAAUUCCAGAAGACAAACCUUAGUGUACUAAGCUUAAAGAACUACCCAAGGGAUUCUAAGUGGGCCUAAAGUGGUGCUUAAUGGACCUAGCCUUCCUAAGUGGGCCUAAGUGGGCUUAGAGUGGGCCUAAGUGUAUCUAAGUGAACCUAGGAUGCCUAAGUGAGCUUAAAGUGGUGCCUAAUGGGUUAGGCAUGUCUAAUGGGCCUAAGGUGUACUAAGUGAACCUAAGGUGCCUAAAUGGGCCUAAGGUGACUAAGUGGGCCUGAAGUGUCUAAAUGGGCCUAAAGUAAUCUAAUGGGCCAAGUGUACCUAAAUGGGCCUAGGGUUACCUAAUGGGCCAAGUGUGGUGCCUAAGUGGGCCUAAAGUGCCUAAGUCUAAAUUAGAGCUGCCAAAGGUCACAAUAAGAUGUCAAAUCAUCCCCCAACCAAAGUCUCCAAGGUGGCUUAGAAAAGAUAGGCUACACGAAUAUUAACGGGCCACCAGGGAAUUGUUAUAAACGACAUGUGCGAGGAAGACAAAAUUGAGGGUCUACAACAACAUAUAUAUAUAUAUAUAUAUAUAUAUAUAUAUAUCAAACUAUAAUUAUAUAAUUUUUUUUAAAUGUAUAAAUCCAUUUUAUUUUUUUAUUAGCUUAAAAUUUUUAUUUUUAAAUAUAGAAAUGUAUUUUUGUUAAAAAAUUAUAUUUCAUAUUUUUGUUCCAUUAUUACUUUUAUUCUUUCUUUUUUGUUUGAUUUUUGCAUGUUAUGUUGUCCAUUUUUCGUUUUUAUUUUUUUCAUUUUUUUAUUUGGAAAAAAAUAAAUAAAAUAUAAUUAAUAGUGACAAAUGAAAAGAGAAAAAAGAAGAAAUGUUGAAAAAUAAAAAUAAAAUUGGUCAUUUUCGUGCAUUUUAUUUUAUUUGUGUGUUUCGAUUAUUCUCCUUUUUAAACAAUUGCAUAAAAGAAAAAAAAAUGAAAAUGAUUGUAGGUGAUUUUCAAAAUAGAGGUGAUUUUCUUGAGGAAAGAAUUCGAAAGUUGAUGUAUAAUGUUGAAGAAGAGCCUUCGUUGUAGGUGGGACGAGAGAGGAAACAACUUUGAAUUUUGAAACUUUACCAUCUAAAAUCAAAACAAAAUCAAUUGCAAUUUACGCAAUUUUGUAGGAAAUUAUUAUUAUUAUUAUAAUGGUAUAACAAGUUUAAUAUAAAAAAAAUAAAAAAUUUGUAGUAUAAAAAUAUUAUAAUAAAAUAAAUAAAUUUAUUUUCAAAAAUAUGAAAAUUAAUAUAAAAAUAUUAGGGAAAAAUUAUGUGUACACAUAAAAAAAUAAAAUAUAAAAUUGAUGGAUUAAAUUAUUAUUGAAAUUAUAAUCCGACUUAAAGUCAAAUUAGAAGAAUUUUAUGAAAUGUCAUAUCAAAACUAAAAUACUAAAAAAUGUGUAGAAUCAAAAGAAAAUUAUACUUUUGUUUGUGAAAUUAUGACUAUAAAGAAUAACUCAAUUCAUUUUCAACUCCAGUAAAAAUUUUGAUAAGUUGUGUAUAUGCAUGUCUUGUUUAAAUCUCAAUAUCUAUAAAAUCUAGUGAAUAAUAGUGUGGACCCCGUAUUUCGCACGAUGUGUUUCCACUCGAUGGCGUGACUCACUUUUUGUUUAUUUGUGAAAAAUUAUGAUUUUUAGAAAAGACUUGGAGUCACCACUUAUUUUUGUUUUAGUUUUUUAAGGGAAAACAAAGUAAGAAAAAAAAACCCUAAGUGUGACUUCUCAUUUGGAAAAAAUGGUCUAUGAAAAACCAAAUCUAGGUUCGAGGGGUUAUGUUACUUAUUGGGAAGGUAGGGUAAAGACCGUAGCACCCCUUUAAGUCCCUAAAAAUGAGUCUCUACUAAAUAAGGUGAGUCAAACAUGACAAUUAACUAGGAGAUCAAUGAAUACCAAAAUGAUUAUAGGUCAAAAGCAAGUUAUGAUAAUGAAUAAAUAAAAAAAGUGAGAGUGAGAGCGUACCUUGGCAGUAGGUAAUAAAGCGCUAUCAUGGAAACAAGGUUAGCUCAAGUAUAAAAUUAUUACGCGCAUAUCAAAAAUCAAGACAAAAAUCAAGCAAUAUUCGUUAAGCAUAACAUUUGACAAUCAGAAGAGAAAACUCAUAUGUGGGGUCCUCACCAAAGCCCAAUUUAUCUUGCACGAAUUAGUAUCACAAAUUCCAUUAUUUUGGAAUUAUAAAAAAUUCAUUCUUGCUUAUUUAAAAUAAAGAUAAACAAAAAAUUAUUUGAAAAUCGAAGAAAAUUUGUACAAGUGCAUACCAAAAUGAGAAUGGUAGCAGACUCAUUAAAAUCAGGAUUUUUGGCAACCUAAAACCCUAAUAAAUGAUUAAAAGUUGUAGAUAAAAAAUAUUUGAAAAUUGGAGUGGGAUUAAAACUGUUUGAGAGAAAACUAGAGUUUUGAAAUUUAUUUGAAAAUUGAAGUCUCGAAAAUUAUUUGAGAAUUGGAGUUUUGAAAAUUAAAUUUAAGAAUUGGAAUUUUAGAAAUUAAAUUUGAAAGAAAUUGGAAUUUUGAAAAUUAUUUGAGACUUGGAGUUUUGAAAAUUAAAUUUAAGAAUUGGAAUUUUGGAAAUUAAAUUUUGAAAUAAAUUGGAAUUUUGAAAAUUAUUUGAGAAUUGGAGUUUUGAAAAUUAAAUUUAGGAAUUGGAGUUUUGAAAAUUAAUUGAGAAUUGGAGUUUUGAAAAUUAGUUUUAAGAAUUGGAAUUUUGGGAAUUAAAUUUGAAAGAAAUUGGAAUUUUGAAAAUUAAAUUUAAGAAUUUGAAUUAAAUUUGAAAGAAAUUGAAAUUUUGAAAAUUAUUUGAGAAUUGAAGUUUUUAAAAUUAAAUUUAGGAAUUGGAGUUUUGGAAAUUAAAUUUAAAAGAAAUUGGAAUUUUGAAAAUUGAUUGAGAAUUGGAGUUUUGAAAAUUAGUUUUAAGAAUUGGAAUUUUGAAAAUUAAAUUUGAAAGAAAUUAAAAUUUUGAAAAUGGAAGUUUUAAAAAUUAAAUUUGAGAAUUGGAAUUUCAAAAAAUUAUUUGAAAAUAGAAAUUUGAAAAUUACAUUUAAUAAUUGGAAUUUUGAAAAAUUAUUUGAAAACAAAAGUUUUGAAAAUCGGAAUUUCGAAAAAUUAUUUGAGAAUGGAAUUCUUAAAAGAUCAAAUUUUUAACAUAAAAUGAUGGAUUAGGAGGGUGACACGUCAAACAUUGGAUAGCAGCCCUCUAGAGUGGAAUCCCAAGGUUCUCCUAAAAAAAUACCUCAAUGUCUAAAUGGCUAUAAGCAUCUGUCCAAAAAAAAAAAAAAAACAAUAGUAGAUUUUCCAUUUGUUCCGGUCACUACUAAUAUCUUAAUACUUCUUGGAAGAAUUUCCGUAGCAAAAUCCAACUUAGACAAUAUUCUUUUCACUGAUUGCAACAAGAAGGAAAGUCCAUGACUUUCCAAGGGAACUCCUAGUGAAACAACUACCAUUUCGGCAUCCUUGAGAAGCUUUGUGUCAAAGUGUCCAAGAACGGUUUUCAAAUGACCAUGCUUUUCAAACAGGAGAUCGAGCUCAAGCGAGAGCAAGCUUUGUUGCAGCUCUACCAGAUUUUCCCAACAAGAAAACAGGAAACUCUCAACCAAACCCAAAUUCACGAAAGAGAAUCAAACCAUAUGGGAAACAUCUGGAUCGGCGCGGUAGCUACAGUUUUGUAACAAAUCUCACUUGGGGUCUAGAGAUUCAUGUUACCUCAAGCUUUUUCUUGUCAGCCUCAUCAUCCCAUGGUUUCACAUCCCAGUGUACAGUCCCAUACCCAAGAAUGCAUAAACACCAGGAACAGGGAGAAAACAACAAAAACAUAGCACAAAUGAAGAAAAUAAUAUGAACCAUCAAAAGCCACACUUCAUGUCUUAGUCAGUGGAUGAAAAGGAUUUCUAAAUAUCACAAAAGAGAUAAAAAUUAGUUGGACCAAUUUUUGAACACAAAUUGGAGCAACAAAGAAGCCGUUAACUAUGAAAAAAAAAAUUCAUGAAUCACCCAAAGAUCAACAACAACAUAUCUCAAUAAUAGUGGAUGAAAGAAAAAAUUUUCACAAUGGAGAACUUACUUCAGGGAAGACGUUGGAGGUCUUUCUUCUAUAGAGCCCAAUAACCCGUGAGCUUCUUCUCUACUUCUCUCAACUCACCAUUUCACUCAUAGAAAAACGAUUCAUUAUGACCCCCCUCAAAUCUCAGCUUAUCUUUUUUCUUUUUGUUCCUUUUAAAAUCCCUCAGCUGCCACAAAAACCCAGCACCCACUUUCCAGAUUUUUCUCCCAGAAAAUCCUCUUCAGCUGCUGCCCCUUUUUCUCUCUCCUCUCAUCAUAGUUUUCUUCAUUUUUUCCUCCGAUCCCCUUAUCUUUUUAGUUUUCUACCCCCCCUCCCCAGUUCACCCUCCAAACCUGCAGCUACCCCUCAGACUACUCCCAUAUUUUUUUCUUUCAAGCUCUCAAAACCCUCACAACGCACCCGACUCUCCUUCAAUCCCCUUGCUCAGUUUUUCAUUUUUUUCAAGCUGUCACCUCCUUCGGUCCAGCUCUCCCUCUCCAAGCUUCAAUUUUUCUCCCAAAAAAAACCCGUUCUCUCCUAAUUUCAUCCUCUGCUCAAGACAGCUCACCCAUGUUCUAUUUUUCUUUCACUUCUAGUCUCAUCCUCCAUCUGUUCCAUUGUUCUUGGUUCAGUGAAGACGUCACCACUCUCAACCACCACCAUGGCGAGUUGGUGACAUCCUUUUCCAUGCGUCUCAAUCAUGCAGCUUGUCCACCUCAUGGAGAGGUCAUCCCCCACUUUUCCAAAAAAAAAAAUCUAGCUCACUCCCGAGUACCCAAUGAGGGGUCUACAAAUAGUUACAUCAAAAUGAUCAAUUCAAAAGAAUUUAAGUCUGUAUUAAAAGAGCAAAAAGAUUUAUCGUUGAAAGAAAUAUUUGAAAACACUCUGUUGCCAGUUCGAAUUACUAGCUCCAUAGGAUUGCAACCCACCAACUAUGUUAUCUGAGAUGCUUGCCAAUCUACAUGAUCACUUCCCAUUGGCAUCUUUCAUAAGGCCAUCAAGAGUGGAUAUUUUGUAAUAUACACGUGGAUACAUUUUGGGAUGUAGUUUGAUAUUUUAUAUUAUUUUGUAUUUUUGGUGUAUUGACAUUUUCAUAUUAAUGUUGGGAGGUUGGAUUAACACUUAAAAUUUUUAAAUACAUUUUUACCUAUGUUAUUCAUCAUGGAUGAAAUAAGUAUUUUUGAAAUUUUAAUUUUUAAGAUUUUACUUUAUUCCACUAAUUUAUUUUUAUCAUUUUAAUCAAUUCUAUCUUCAUAAAAAAAAAUUAUAAAUAAGCUUUAUAAGAAUUCAUUUUUAUUAUCAAAUAAUUAUUUUGUUUUCUUAACAAAAUAAAUAUUUUAUAAUUUUGAAAUAAAAUAAUAAAUACUAUGUAACAUUAUCAAACGAGUUUUUUUUUAAAUUUUUAAAAAAUAAUUAUUGAUUUUAUCAAAUAAAUAAAAUAGUAUUUUAAUCUAUGGACCCCUUACUAUUUUUCUUUCCUUUUCAUGUAUCACAUGUUUAAUUAUUUUUUAUUAAAAAUUAGUUUUUGAUAGGCAUUGCUACUAUAAUACCACUUUCUUUUCAUUAAGGAGAGGCACAAGAACCCAUUACGAUUAGACAAUGGGUCAAAUCAUGAAGUCACAUCUCACUAGUAGAUUAAAAAAAAAAACUUUUAUAACUUUGUUGUUAUCUUUUCAUUUUAAGGGUAAAAUAGGAAAAAACAAUUACGAUGCACUCUAAAAUUGCUUUUAAAUUUAUUCCAAAAUUACCCUAAAAAAUUUGCCAUGAAUGUGAGAAAAGUGGUGAUGUGAUAGAAGGAAAAAGUGAUGAAAUGAAGAGGCAUGAGGUGUUGAUUGGAGGGUGGCACUGUGGAUGACGGUCCUAUGGUGCCACACCGAGGUGAAAGUGUGGGCUAGUAGUGAUAGUGGAGAGAAAUGGAUGCAAAAAAUGGGUAUGGUGGGCAGAUGAAGAGAAAGAGAAAGAGAAAGAAAGUGUUGUGAUUUGCAACGGUUGGUGGUAUUGGAGAAAGGCAACAUUUGGUGUUACAGAAGAGAGACAACAUUGUGUCACAGGAUGCACAAAUGACCCUCCCCAUGGGCUUAUUUUGGAGGUGGGAAGCUUAUGGAAACUCCUGAAGCCAUCUACACUAAGCCAUUGGUGGGAAGAGUGUGGAAGCUUCUAAAAAAGCCUAGGGAUGUUCGCACAUCUUUACAUUAUGGUGGAAGGCAUGAGAAAAUUCCAAGACUUUCUAGAGAGUUCUAGAGGUCUCUUGUAUAUUCUUGUACGUAAGCUUGUACAUAGAAUUAUAUAGGGUGUUCUAGAAUAUUCAUGAGUUGUAAGGAACCCUCCAAGGUUCUAGAGAGUCCAUUGGUGUUUAUAAAUGAGGGUCUUAUUUGGUCAGGGCACCAAGCAAGUGAGUUUCCAAGCAUUGUAUAAACUUUCUUUGAAAUCAGUAAAACUUCCGUUCUUUAAGUGUUGCCUACUACGCCCUCUAAAGCUUUUAAGUUGGGUGCAUCUUUGCAAAGCAAACUAAGUAUCAGGACUAAUGUUGACUUAGCAAGAUCAAGGGUCUUGACUUGUCUAAGUGUCGCACAAGCUUAGGAAAAGACUAAGUUUGUGACAGUUGGCACUAGGUUGUGGAUAAGUGGUGGUGGUGAUGUGGAGAAAGUGAAGGAAACAUAGAAGAAGAAAGAAAAAGAAAUAUGGGAAAGGAAAAGGGAGAGAAAAAAAUACUACUAGGUAAGGGAAACUAUGAGCGGUGGCCAACGACGACACUAAUAGAUAAUGUUAUCAAUGGUGCCGAUAGAUUCGGUGGAAGCGGUAGAUUCAGUGGGAAGUGAGAGGCGACAGUGAAUUGAACUUUGGUGGCAAAUCAUACACGACUACCCUCCUCCCAUCGCAAUCACCAUCAUUCUCAUUUUUCGCUUAGGAUCAAUGUGCCCUCUCUAAGCAACAUUGACAACCCCCCUCCCUCCCCUAUCUUUUUCAUUUCUAAUGUUGUUUUCUACAAUUGGAACUAGGUUUUCAAAAACAUCGACUAUCUCUGGAGGAGUAGUACUAGUACUGUGAAUGAUUGAAAUUGUGAUUUCAAAAUUAGGUUGGGUUCCAACAUAGAGGUAAUAGAGGUUGUUAAGCCUUCAGGAAGACGUGCACAAGUGAACAAUGUUCCUAGAGAUUAUAGUGGUGGAAGAAUACCAUAAAAAGAUAAGAAAAGAAAAGGGAAAAGGACUCUUUCUCAUGCCACCUACCCAUUCUCAGUGUUGACACAUUUUUCUAGCUGGCACCAUUCCCUCCAAUCGUCACCUACCCAUCAUCACCACCAUCCCUUACUUUCAUGGUAAUUUUUUUAAGAUAAUCUUGGAACAAAUUCAAAAACAUUGUUAGAGCGCAUGAAUUAAGAAUUUUUUUUUUCUCAACUUUAUACUUAAAAUGAAAAGAUAAAAGCAAAAUUCCAAAAACCUUAUAGCUUGUUUAACCAUAUAACUUAAAAACGGUUAUCUAAUUUUAAAAAUAGAAAACUGUUUUUUAACACUUUCAAUUGUGGUUGGUCAUUAUUCUAAAAAAAAAUAAUAAUAAUUUAAAACUAGAUUGAAAAAAAAAUCAGGAAACAAUCUCAUUGAUUUAAAUUAUUAUUUAAUUACUUGCACAAUCGUAUGAUUAUUAUUAUGUUUUUGUUAUAUUAUAUUAACAAGUGAAUACUAUGUUGUUGAUUCUAGAUAUCCUUGUAUUAUGGGUUUUCUUCCUCCAUAUUGAGGUGAAAGGUAUUAUUUGUAAUAUUAUCUUAGCAAAAGUUGUCAACCAAAGACUGAUAAAGAAUUGUUCAAUUAUUGACCUUCCUCAUUUAUAAAUAUAAUUGAGUAUUAUUUGUGUUUUAAAAGCACGUUUUUCAAUUUUAAAAAUGAUGUCAUCUUACAAACCAAGUAGACAACUAUAAAUAGUUGUAGCUUGUUGUACUCUUUAUAAUUUCAUUCGUAAAUAGACUUAAAAUGAUGUUAUAUUUAGACAAUGGGAAGAAGAACUUGAAUUUGAAGAUAAGGACGAUACUACAAUUGAAGUAAGUUAUGCAAUGAAUUUAUUAGAUGAAGCAGCAACGAUUAUGACAACUUAUCAAGAUCGUAUUUCAUAGUAGAAAUGGAAUGCUUAUGUUAAUAGUUUGUAAACAUUAGUCAUUAAAUAGUUAUAUUAAUAUACGAAGCAAGAAUGUGAAAUAUGAAAAUUGUUUAACUAUUAUAAUUGACUUGAAGUGUUUGUGUGUACUUGGUUUGCAAUUAUUUUUGUUAGGUGCUUUCAAUUUAAAUUUUUUUUUUGUUUUUCCCAUUAAAAAAAUCAAUCCAACUAUUUAUUUUACUCUCUUUAAAAAAAUGAAUAUUAAAAUUAUUUUUAAUCUUAUAGUAAUUUUUGUUUCAUUUGAAUAAAAAAAUUGUUUAAUAAUUAAAACAAUUAUUUAUCUAUAAUUUAUAUAAUUUGAAUUUUAUUUAUUUAUUUUUAGUGAGAUUUAACUUGAAUGUGAUUUAUAUUAAUGUAAAUUAAAUUUUAAAAAUAAAAAUACAAAAAUUGUUUUUAAAAACAAAGACGAUUCUUUUAUACAAACAAGUUUUUGUUUUUUAAAAACUAUUUUUGAAAGUAAUUGGCCAAACAAUUUUUCUUUGUAAAAAAUACAAAAAAAACCAUUUUUUAUUCUUUAUCUUAAAAAUAAUUUUUAAAAUUAAAAAACACGAUCAAACACCUUAUUUUGUUUUUAUUUUUGGUGUAUGAUUGCAUAAUUUUUUCAUUUUUUAAAAUUGAAUUUCAAGCAAGCUCAUAAUUAUAUAAUUAAAAAACUUGUUUGAUAGUAAUUUUAAGAAGCAAUUCUAAUAUUUUUAACACUUAAAAAAUGAAAAAAGAAUUAUUUUUCAAGUAUACAACGAAGAAAUACUUGUUAGGAUCACUGCUACACAUUCUCUAUGUAGACAUAUCCCACUUCUAACUCUUCAACUUCUGAACUCUUUUGAUGAAAUCCACACUCAAACCACUCACAAGCUCCAAAUUCAAGUCCCAAAUGCAGCCACUGCUUCAACCAGGUUUUGGAGUCAAAAUAAGAGACGUAGUGAUGAAUUCCAGAUAGUCCAUAUCUUAAAGUGAGAAAAUAUCCAAAAAAGAAUUUGUUGUGUUGAGAGGGAUUGCUUGAGAAAUUCAGGAUUAGGGAAUUAUUUUAUCUCAGUGUGGUUUAGAAUUCCAGUUUGGCAAAUUCAGGAUUCAGGACUGGCUUUGGGUUCAAAAUGAUUUGGGGUUUCUACUCAGAAACAUCCAAAAAUUGAACUAUUUGACAAAUUUGGGGUGUGGGAGCUGUUCCUUUGUUUGUGGGAUAUUUGUGCAUGAUUAUGGAACUGCUGAACUGUGUUACAUAAAUUCAAAUUUUAUUUGCUUGAUGGGGAAUUGGUCUGGGAAAAGAUAGCUGAAGAAUAAAGGGAUUGAUGUCAUGGGAUAAGGUUUUGUUGGGUGGACUUGUUUUCCAUGUUUUUUCUCCUCUAAAGGUUAGGGGUGAAAAAUUGUAUUAAAUUCAUUUUUUUGUGCAGAUUUUAUGAUUUUAAUGUUGUUGUUUUCCCUUUUGAAUAAGGAAUAUAAAAACAUUUAUGGAAUUUGAUUUCUUCCAAAAUUAGAUGAGUUAUGAAACCAAAAUAGUGGUUGCAUGUGGUUGAAUCUCGGUUUUUAUUUUAUAAUUUGUCAUCCAAAUCAAGCAAUUCUUAUAUUUUUAGUUUUGAAAAUGAAUUCCAAAAGCAUGGGCUAAUUUAUACCUUAUGUAUAUGAGUUUCACUUUGUAUAUACUUUUUGUUUUUAAAAACAAAAAGUAGGAAGUGUAUCCAAACACUUAUUUUUACUUAAGUUAUAAAGUAAGGAGGUGGAUUUAUUUUAUAAGUUGCUUUUGGUGUCAAAGAAAUUAUUCUUAACAUAAUUAUUAAAAAAAAAAAGAUAUCAAUUAUAUUUGAUUGGUAUUAUCAAUUAUGCUUUGCGGGACCAAGCAUGCCCCAUCUUCUUUGGGCCUCCCACUACUUUAAUCCUACACAGAUGACACAUUUUUAUUAAGAUCCAGAUCCUAUUAUCAUGGACUGGGCAAUGGAGGCUCAGAUCCGGCCGUAAUCAGACGAGCUGUUGGGACGCCAUGGCUGCAACUACCGGGUUGCCCCGCCAAGAAACGAGCCCUUCAUAAUCUCUGAUUUACUUGGAAAGUAUCAUCAUAGCCCCUCGAUUUUCUCAUUGGGAACCAAACAGAUCCAGGACCCUUUGAAGGACCCUAAAUACAUCCAACCAAACAAUAAUAAAUAAAUAAAUAAAUAAAGAUGGACAUCACGGGUCCAGGGAGGGCUCAGAUCCGCCCGUAAUCAGACAAGAUCCAUGUUCGCCAUGGCUGCAACUACAGUUGCAUGUGAAAAAACAGGGCAUAGAAACCCAUUUCACAGACAAUCCGGGUCGCCCAGCCAAGAGAUGGAUCCUUUCAAAUGUCUGAUUUACUUGGAAAGUGUCAUCACAGCCACUUAAUUUUCCUGCACAUUUUCUCAGCAACCAAACAGAUACAAGAUCCUUCUCAGAAAACACAUUUUAAAACACAAACAAAAAAACCAAAACAAAACAAAGAUCAGCCUCAGCGCGGAAGUGAAUAGCGCGUAAAAGGAAGGCUCAGAUUCGCCUUUUAUCAGACAAGAAAAAGAUGACCGUCAUGGCUGCAACCACAGUUGCUUGUGAAACAAGGCACAAAAGGUCCCAUCGCACAAACCAUCCGGGUUGCCCCGCCAAGAAACGGACAUUCCCAGUUCCUGACUUACUCUGAAAACGUCAUCACAGCCUUUUAUGUUGCCCAUAUGAACAGAGAGAUACCCCUAAAACAGAUCCAGAAAACACAGGGAGCCAAAAAAAAAAAGCAAUUUUUUUGGUUUUCCUUGGGGGUUUUGCGUGGAUUUUCUCGGAAAUCAAACGAGGAUGAAUUUUCCCGGAAAUCGAAUGGGGGAUGGAUUUUCUUGGGAAUCAAACGGGGGUUGCAAAAAAAUAAUAAUAAUAAUAACAUGAUUAGAUUAGUACCUGCGAGGAUUGAGAGUGGGAGAGGAAAAUAGGGCCUUUUUAGGGAUUCUCUCGUCUGGAGGGCAACUUCAGAAAAGGGCUUCUAGUUCUUGAUGCCCGAGUGGGAGAAGCGGAUGAUGGCCCUUUCGAUUUUUAUAUUUAGUGGAGAGAGAAAACAAGGGAAACAAAUCAUGAAAACAAUUUUCCUCUCUAUAUAAAUAAUUAUUAAUCAUCCAUCUUUAUUUUGAUUAAAUUACUACCAAAAUUUCGAUUUUUAUCAGUAAUAUUUUAUAAAUUAAAAUUCAUUUGAUAAAAUAAAUUAUUAAUAAAUUUAUUUAUUUAAAUAAAUUAAUAUUAAUAAAAAAAAGUUAUUACCAUGUAUUUUUAAUAAAAUCUUAAAAAUUAAAUAUCAAAUAAAAUAUUUUAUAUAAAUUAAUUUAAUUUUUCAUUUAAAAUAUAAUAAAACAUGUUUCAAUAAAAAUAUUUAAAAUUUUUUUAAAUAAAUAUUAUCUUCAAUAAGAUAAGUUUCUUUCAUUUAACAAUAUGAUGGACCCACAUCGAUCUUCAUUUUGAUACUAAAAACUAUUGCAAUCUCAUAUAUAUUAUACUUAUGUAUAAAUUGUUUUUAUUCAAUAAAAUCAAAUAUUUUUUAACUCAAUUCUAACUUUAUACACUUUCAAAAUUCAUAUUUAUUAUUCUUAAAAUUUAAAUAUCCAAUUUAUCAAUAUGUCUCUAUCUACCGAUGUUUUUCUUCUUGAUCAUAUUUAAGUCAAUUACACUUAUAAAACAACUUAAAAAUGUGUAUUCUUGUUUAUUUUAUCAUUUUUUGAAGUUUUUCCAAAUAUCCCUAUGACUUCUACAUAAUUUUCGUUCCACCGGCAUUUUCAUACUUACCCUGUAUCUAUAAAAAAUAAAUGAAAACAAUUUUAGGUUAGGAGUUAUAAGGACAACUAGUAUUCAUGCAGAAAAUCAGCAUCAGAAUUCGUAACUGCAUUUGAUCAGCUAGUUUAGGAAAUCUGUACAGCUCAUUCUUUCCUUUAUUUUCACAUAUGUUGUUAUACGUUAGCACAAGUUUAGGAGUAAUUUUAGUUUCUCAAAUCUGUAUUUAUACCUCUUCUUCUAAUAAGAAUUGUGUGAAUCAUUUUGUCUAAACCUCUAUAUGGUAUCAGAGCCCACCUCAAAACUCCAACGAGUAUUUCCUGUCUUUCUCACUUCUGCUAUGGCCACUUCUUCCUUUGAUAGUUUUCCAAUAGCCAUCAAUGCCACCCAGCAAAUUAUUGCACGUCUCACACCAACCAACUUCCCUUCAUGGCAUGCCCAAUUUGAGUCUCUCCUCCUCGGCUAUAACCUCUUUGGCUAUGUCGAUGGCACUCAUACCUGCCCACCCCUACCGACGUCAACUGAUGCAGCUGCCACUACCGCUCAUCACCUUUGGUUCCGUCAGGACAAACUUAUUCUAAGUGCAAUUCUGACUUCAGUGUCCCCAGCUGUGAUACCACUCAUAGCAACCUCCCAGACGUCAUAUCAAGCCUGGACUAAAUUGACAAAACUGUAUGCUAGUCGAUCCAGGACUCGUGUCAUGCAGCUCAAAGAGGAUCUCACCCUCAUGCAACGUGGCAAUCGCAACAUUACAGAGUACCUACACUCUGUAAAAACCAUUGCCGAUGAGCUUGCUCUCAUCGAUGCCCCAUUAUCUCAAGAUGACAUCACCCUAUAUGUUCUUCAUGGCUUAGGAUCAGAUUUUCGUGACAUUGUUGCCCCGAUUCGAGCCUGAGAGUCUUCACUCUCAUUUGAAGAAUUACAUGAUCUGCUACUUGGUCAUGAGGCAUAUCUUCGAAGGCUUGACUCCACUGCUCAAUCCUUGGUAGUUACUGCCAAUACCACUCAACGCAGGGACUCACGCUCCUCAAAGAAUCAGUCUUUAUCAACUUAUCAACAAUCCAAGAAUGACUCCAGAUCAAAGUCUCGACAGUCGAAACAAUACAAAUACCCUCCAAGGUGUCAAUAUUGUGAUCAACAAGGCCACAUUGCAAAAUACUGUCCGAAAUUGAAACCCUCUGAAGCCACUGUGAACUGCACAACUACUACUUCUAGUCUAGACAAACGUUGGCUCAUUGAUUCUGCGGCUUCCCAUAAUAUCACUUCUCAGGUUUCAAAUUUACAAUUUCACUCUGAAUAUGAUGGUACUGAUGAAGUUAUUAUUGGAGAUGGAUCAGGUUUGCCCAUUACUCAUUCCGGUUCUCUUACUCUUUCAUUUCCAAACAGAAAAUUUCAAGUUGAAGAUACUCUAUGUGUUCCUACCAUUAACAAAAACUUGAUAUUUGUUCACCACUUCACAAAGCAAAACAAUGUUAUCCUGGAAUUUCACCCAACUUAUUUUCUUGUGAAGGAUCGGAGAACGGGGGAGAUUCUUCUUCAAGGACCGUGUGAAAAUGAAGUCUACCCUCUACCCUCAUCGCCUGCUGCUACUCCAAUUGCUUUUGUCCAUGAACGCACAUCAGUAGCUGGUUGGCAUCAGCGCCUUGGUCAUCCAUCCUUCAAAGUUGUCACUCGCCUCAUUAGUUCUUUCUCCCUUCCCACCACUUCAUAUCUUUCUAGUUCUAAUAAUUGUCAUUCGUGUUCUACCAAUAAAGCUCAUUAGUUACCCUUUCAUAAACACGGUCUAACUAGCACAACACCAUUUGAUUUACUUUACACUGAUGUAUGGGGACCUUCUCCCACUCCUAGUCUCAAUGGCCACAGAUAUUAUGUUAUUUUUGUUGAUCACUUUACCAAAUAUGUGUGGUUCUUUCCAUUGCAUCAAAAAUCAGAUGUUAAAACCAUAUUUCCUCAUUUCUACAAAAUGAUUGAAACUCGUUUUAACAUAAAAAUUAAAGGAGUUUAUUCCAAUAAUGGAGGAGAGUUCACUGUUCUUUGACCCUUUUUCACAACCCAUGGCAUUAGUCAUUAUACAACAACCCCUUAUACACCCCAACAAAAUGGAGUGUCUGAGCGUCGUCAUCGCCAUAUUGUGGAGACAGGUCAAACCCUUCUAAGUCAUGCCUCUCUUCCAUCAGAAUAUUGGGCUUAUGCUUUUGCAACAGCCACAUAUCUAAUCAAUCGACUUCCAUCACCUGUUCUUCAUCAUAAAUCACCUCUUCAAGCUCUCUUCAAGCAACAACCUCGGUAUGAAAAAUUACGUUCCUUUGGAUGUUUCUGCUUUCCCUUGAUGAAGUCGUAUAACACAAACAAAUUUCAAAAGAAAUCUGUUCCUUGUAUCUUUGUUGGCUACUCUACUAGCCAAAGUGCAUAUCUAUGUCUUCAUCUACAAAGUCAACGCAUAUACACCUCCAAACACGUAACCUUUGAUGAAUCUGUUUACCCCUUCAAACAGGUUUCCAUGCCAUCACCCACUGACUCAUCCCCACCAGAAACCUCUUCUUUUCAGGACCAAUUUUGCAGCUUGCUUCCAGGGAGCUUCCAGCAAUCACACGGGCUCAAGGAGAUAUCCCCUCUGCUUCUUCGACUCCAAGUGAAGAUCCAGCUCUUGUGCAACCUCAAGAGGCACCACUCUCCACUUCAGAUCAGGUACCUCUUAGACCUUCUACUUCUGUUUCUCAACCAGAAAAUUCAAUACCAUCCUCUCCACCACCAUGUCCACGAACCAUCAUCACUCGCUCCAUGAACAAUAUCUUUCGGCCAAAACAACUCCACACUACCACCAAGCACCCCUUACCUGAACCACCCGAACCAAGUUGUGUAAGUCAAGCUCUUAAAGAUCCUCACUGGCGCAAGGCUAUGUCAGAAGAAGUGACAACCCUCCUUCAACAUGGGACGUGGGAACUGGUUCCUCCCACUCCUGGCCAGAAUCUUGUUGGGUGUAAAUUUGUGUUUCGGAAGAAACGAAAUCCCGAUGGAACAAUCAGUCGAUAUAAAGCUCGACUUGUCGCUAAAGGAUUUCAUCAACGGCCAGGUAUUGACUACUCUCAAACCUACAGCCCCGUCGUAAAGCCAGCAACAAUUAGGCUUCUUUUAACCAUUGCUGUCAUGCAUGGCUGGCCCCUUCGUCAGUUAGACAUCAAUAAUGCAUUCUUGCAUGGUAAUCUUGAAGAAACAGUCUUCAUGCAUCAACCUCCAGGAUUUGAAGAUCCAUCUCAACCUCAGCAUGUUUGCAAGCUAAAAAAGAGUAUCUAUGGUCUUAAACAAGCCCCACGACAAUGGUAUAAGGCCCUUCGGGAUGCACUCCUCAGCUUUGGUUUUAUUCACUCGGCCACUGACAACUCUUUGUUCAUCUAUAAGUCUCAUGAUAUCUUGUGCUACUGCCUUGUUUAUGUUGAUGACAUAAUUGUCACAAGCAACACACUCAGCUUUGUGAAUAACAUUAUCAACAAGCUUGGCUCUACAUUCUCAGUCAAAGAUAUGGGCUCCUUGCAUUAUUUCUUGGGAAUAGAAGUGAUUCCAACGCCACAGGGGCUCUUUCUAUCUCAACAUCAGUAUAUACGGGAUCUCCUUUCACGAACCUCCAUGGAAAAUGCUAAAGAAACACUCACUCCAAUGUCCACUACAACCAAGCUUACAGUUCAAGAUAAUUCUGAAUGUGUUGACAGCACUGAGUAUCGCAAGAUCAUUGGAGCACUUCAGUAUUUGGGACUCACUCGUCCCGAUAUUGCCUUUGCAGUCAACAGAUUAUCUCAGUUCAUGCAGAAGCCGACAACAAACCAUUGGGCCGCAGCAAAAAGACUACUCAGAUAUCUUAAACAGACCAUGUUUCAUGGUAUCCUUCUCCAAAAGCAUGAUCAAUUCCAACUCAAGACCUAUAGUGAUGCGGACUGGGCAUCAAAUACGGACACUCGUGUUUCAACCACUGCUUUCAUCACAUUCAUUGGUCCUAAUCCAAUCUCAUGGUCUGCACGCAAGAAAAGGGCAGUCUCAAGAUCAUCUACAGAAGUAGAGUUUCGGGCACUAGCUACUGCCACAUCAGAAACAAUUUGGCUUCAUUCUCUUAUCAAGGAACUUGGUCUCACUCUCAUAGAAGCACCUCAAAUGUUUUGUGAUAAUAUUGGCGCCAACCAUUUCAGUUUAAAUCCAGUCCAGCACACACGGAUGAAACACAUUGAAAUUGAUCUCCUCUUUGUACGAGAUCUUGUCCAAAAGGGAACUAUUCGUGUUCAGCACAUCCAUACCAUUGAUCAACUAGCUGAUCUCCUUACAAAAUCACUCUCACGUCAACGCUUUCAACUAUUAAGAUCCAAGAUUGGUGUUGCAGAUGGCACCUCCAUCUUGAGAGGGCAUAUAAGGACAGCUAGUAUUCAUGCAGAAAAUCAGCAUCAGAAUUCGUAACUGCAUUUGAUCAGCUAGUUUAGGAAAUCUGUACAGCUCAUUCUUUCCUUUAUUUUCACAUAUGUUGUUAUACGUUAGCACAAGUUUAGGAGUAAUUUUAGUUUCUCAAAUCUGUAUUUAUACCUCUUCUUCUAAUAAGAAUUGUGUGAAUCAUUUUGUCUAAACCUCUAUAGGGGUGGACUUGUUUUCCAUGUUUUUUCUCCUCUAAAGGUUAGGGGUGAAAGCAACUUAUAGCUGAUGGUUGUUUUCAGAAAUAAGCUGAUCAUAUCAUAGCUGACCGAUUUCUUCUUUGGUCAUCUUGAAGCAAUUUUAAUAUUUAUUUUUCAGUCAGCUACCUUCUAUCUCUUCUUAGCUAUCUAAAAAUCCUCACUCAUCGGCCUCCCAAUAUCAAUGAAAUGGUGCCCAAAAUCUGAAGUGGCUUGAAUUCAGUUCAGGUCUAAAUAGUGGUUUCUGAAUGUUGUUAAGUGGUUUAUUUUUACAUGGCAAAACAUCUAAAAUUAGUAAUAAGAUUUAAUUAUUAUCUUUCUUCUUAUAAUUAACAAUAUUUUCAAAUAUCUCAAAAUGCCAAAAUAUAUUCCUUCUUAUUUUAUAAAAUUGGAAUUAGAUAUUUGAAAAGUAAUAAUUUGAAAAAAUAAUAAUAAUUUAAAAUAUUUCCAAAUAACAAAAAUACGAAAAUUGACUACAUUACAAUGAUGGUAAUUAAUAUGUAAUUAAUUAUGAUAGAAGUUAGUGUUUCUAAUUAUAUUUGGCUAUUAAGAAAAUGUUAGAAAUUCUCUAGGUUGAGUUUCCUUAAUUUUUCUCUCUUUUUUUCUAGUGGAUGUUUAGAUAAAUGUGAGUUAUGUUUUGGAGUUUUAAUUGGAGAAAUUCUGUGAUGAUGUUUUAUGUCAGUUUUGUUGCAUUCUGAGGUGUUGAACUUUGAAAAAUUGUAUUAAAUUCAGUUUUUGUGCAGAUUUUAUGAUUUUAAUGUUGUUGUUUUCCCUUUUGAAUAAGGAAUAUAAAAACAUUUACGGAGUUUAAUUUCUUCAAAAAUUAGAUGAGUUAUGAAACCAAAAUAGCAGUUGCAUGUGGUUGAAUCUCGGUUUUUAUUUUAGAACUUUUUGGAUUUAUUUUAUAAUUUGUCAUCCAAAUUAAGCAAUUCUUAUAAUUUUAGUUUUGAAAAUGAAUUUCAAAAGCAUAGGCUAAUUUAUACUUUAUGUAUAUGAGUUUCACUUUGUAUAUACUUUCUGUUUUUAAAAACAAAAAGUAGGAAGUUAUAAAGUAAGGGGGUGGAUUUAUUUUAUAAGUUGAUUUUGGUGUCAAAGAAAUUAUUCUUAACAUAAUUUUUAAAAAAUAAAAAAUAAAUUAUAUUUGAUUGGUAUUAUAAAUUAUGCUUUGUGGACCAAGCAUGACUCAUCUUAUUUGGGCCUCCCACUACUUUAAUCCUACACAGAUGACACAUUUUUAUUAAGAUCCAGAUCCUAUUAUCAUGGACUGGGCAAUGGAGGCUCAGAUCCGGCCGUAAUCAGACAAGUUGCUGGGACGCCAUGGCUGCAACUACGGUUGCCUGUAAAAUGAAACCCAUUUCACAGAUCACCCGGGUUGCCCCGCCAAGAAACGAGCCCUUCAUAAUCUCUGAUUUACUUGGAAAGUAUCAUCAUAGCCCCUCGAUUUAUUUACUUGGAAACAGAUCGAGGACCCUUUGAAGGACCCUAAAUACAUCCAACCAAACAAUAAUAAAUAAAUAAAUAAAGAUGGACAUCACGGGUCCAGGGAGGGCUCAGAUCCGCCCGUAAUCAGACAAGAUCCGUUUUCGCCAUGGCUGCAACUACAGUUGCAUGUGAAAAAAAAGGGCAUAGAAACCCAUUUCACAGACAAUCCGGGUCGCCCAGCCAAGAGAUGGGUCCUUUCAAAAUGUCUGAUUUACUUGGAAAGUGUCAUCACAGCCACUUAAUUUUCCUGCACAUUUUCUCAGCAACCAAACAGAUACAAGAUCCUUCUCAGAAAACACAUUUUAAAACACAAACAAAAAAACCAAAACAAAACAAAACAAAGACCAGCCUCACCUCAGCGCGGAAGUGAAUAGCGCGUAAAAGGAAGGCUCAGAUUCGCCUUUUAUCAGACAAGAAAAAGAUGACCGUCAUGGCUGCAACCACAGUUGCUUGUGAAACAAGGCACAAAAGGUCCCAUCGCUUAAGCCAUCCGGGUUGCCCCGCCAAGAAACGGACAUUCCCAGGGCCUGACUUACUCUGAAAACGUCAUCACAGCCUUUUAUGUUGCCCAUAUGAACAGAGAGAGAGUGAGCGCUGUUGAUAGCCUCUGAUGUAUAUGUAUAUAUAUAUAUAUAUGUAAAAGAGCGAAGGAAAAGGAGCGUAGUAGAAGGAAUCAUCGGCUCCGACGACCAUGAGAGUGGCAGAGGAAAAUAGGGCCUUUUUAGGGAUUCUCUCGUCUGGAGGGCAACUUCAGAAAAGGGCUUCUUGAUGCCUUAGUGAGAGAAGUGGAUGGCCCUUUCGAUUUUUAGAUUUAGUAGAGAGAGAAAACAAGGUUAACAAAUCAUGAGAACAAUUUUCCUCUCUUUAUAUAAAUAAUUAUUAAUUAUCCAUCUUUAUUUUGAUUAAAUCACUACCGAAAUUUCGAUUUUUAUUUUGAAGGACCCUAAAUACAUCCAACCAAACAAUAAUAAAUAAAUAAAGAUGGACAUCACGGGUCCAGGGAGGGCUCAGAUCCGCCCGUAAUCAGACAAGAUCCAUGUUCGCCAUGGCUGCAACUACAGUUGCAUGUGAAAAAAGGGCAUAGAAACCCAUUUCACAGACAAUCCGGGUCGCCCAGCCAAGGACAGGUCCUUUCAAAAUGUCUGAUUUACUUGGAAAGUGUCAUCACAGCCACUUAAUUUUCCUGCACAUUUUCUCAGCAACCGAACAGAUACAAGAUCCUUCUCAGAAAACACAUUUUAAAACACAAACAAAAAAACCAAAACAAAACAAAGACCAACCUCAGCGCGGAAGUGAAUAGCGCGUAAAAUGAAGGCUCAGAUUCGCCUUUUAUCAGACAAGAAAAAGAUGACCGUCAUGGCUGCAACCACAGUUGCUUGUGAAACAAGGCACAAAAGGUCCCAUCGCACAAACCAUCCGGGUUGCCCUGCCAAGAAACGGACAUUCCCAGUGCCUGACUUACUCUGAAAACGUCAUCACAGCCUUUUAUGUUGCCCAUAUGAACAGAGAGAGAGAGAGAGAGCUGUUGAUUUUCCAGAGAAUCAAGACAGCCUCUGAUAUAUAUGUACACACAUGUGUAUGAAAAGAAAGAAAAGAAAAGAAAGAGCGAAGGAAAAGGGCUGUUGAUGGGCGUCGUAGAAGUAAUCAUCGGCUCCGAAGACCAUGAGAUUCAGAGAGGGGCAACCACCCUUAGAAACUCCCCAUCCCUCCGACACGGUCCCUGGAGCCUCAGUCUUAAACUAAUGAGGUCUAGCCCUAACUUUUACUCAUCCUUUCCCUUUUAUACUACUCCCUGUCUUCUUCUUCUUUGCUUUUAUUUUACUUUUUUGACCUUUCUACCCUCACUAAACCCGGUAUCAAGGAUUGAAAUGUCGAAUUUCGGGAAAUUUCCCGAUAUUUCCUACCAGUCCAGCCCGCGCACAGGAUACAAAAUCUGUCCAUUUUUUAAAAAAAAAACACAAGAUGUUAUUUGGUAAUCUGAUCAUGAUUUGCAGGCAAAGGUUGUGUUUUUCAGCCUGGCUCAAAAAUCGUGGAUUUAGGGUUCGUGAAAUUUAAAUCCAAUGGCACAAAAGCAAAGAGACCCCUAGAACAGAUCCAGAAAACACAGGGAGCAAAAAAAAAAGCAAUUUUUUUGGUUUUCCUUGGGGGUUUUGCGUGGAUUUUCUCGGAAAUCAAACGAGGAUGAAUUUUCCCGGAAAUCGAAUGGGGGAUGGAUUUUCUUGGGAAUCAAACGGGGGUUGCAAAAAAAAAAAUAACAUGAUUAGAUUAGUACCUGCGAGGAUUGAGAGUGGCAGAGGAAAAUAGGGCCUUUUUAGGGAUUCCCUCGUCUGGAGGGCAACUUCAGAACAGGGCUUCUUGAUGCCCCAGUGAGAGGAGUGGAUGGCCCUUUCCAUUUUUAUAUUUAGUAGGGAGAGAAAACAAGGAAACAAAUCAUGAGAACAAUUUUCCUCUCCUAUAUAAAUAAUUAUUAAUUAUCCAUCUUUAUUUCGAUUAAACCACUACCAAAAUUUCGAUUUUUAUCAGUAAUAUUUUAUAAAUUAAAAUUAAUUUAAUAAGAUAAAUUAUUAAUAAUUUUAAUUAUUUAAAUAAAUUAAUGUUAAUAAAAAAUUUAUUACCACAUAUAUAUAAAAUAAAAUCUUAGAAAUUAAAUAUCAAAUAAAGUAUUUAUAUAAAUUAAUUUAAUUUUUCAUAUAAAAUGUAAUAAAAAUUUAUAAAUAAAUAUUGUCUUCAAUAAGAUGAUUCAUUAGAUGAAACCAUAUCAAUCUUCAUUUUGAUACUAAAGACUAUUACAAUAUCAUAUGUAUUAUAUUUAUGUAUAAAUUGUUUUUACUCAAUAAAAUCAAAUAUUUUUUAAUUCAAUUUUAAUUUUAUACAUUUUCAAAAUUCAUAUUUAUUAUUCUUAAAAUUCAAAUAAAUCUACUGAUGUUUUUCUUCUUGAUCAUAUCUAUAUCAAUUAUAUUUAUAAAAUAACUCUAAAAUAUGUAUUUUUACUUAUUUUAUCAUUUUUUUUAUAAUUUUCUAAAUAUUCCUAUAAAUUUUAAAUAAUUUUCGUUCCACCAAUAUUUUCAUUCUAAUCUUGUAUCUAUCGAAAAUAAAUGAAAGACAAUUUUUUACAACAAAAUUUUUUAUGAUUUUUAAAUCAAAAGUUAGUUUUAAAAUCUCAAAUAUUUUUAAUCCACUAUUAUGUUUUUAAAAUUAUAUAAUUAUUUUUUAAAAUAAUAAAAACAAAUAAAAAUAAUUAAGAUUAUGUUUAGUUUGUUAAAAAAAAAUAUUUUAUCAAAUUUGAUUUAAUAGUGAAAAUAAAAAUAAAAUAAUAAUUAAAAUUACUUAAAAACCAAUGUAACUUAAAUUUUUUUUUUUUUUGAUCUUUAGCUUAAAAAAAAAAAAUAAAUAAAAUGAAUUUGAAAAGAUAAUUAAUCUCUCUAAAAGGAAGAGACUCAAAAUUAUCGGAGGAAGAAAAAAAGGGAGUAAGAUUUGAAGGAUAAAAAUAAAGAAGGAACAAGUGGGUGGGUAUUGCAUUAUAUCCAUGAGUUGAUCAAUAACUAGCUCCAUUUCCUUUCCUUUAUUUUCUUGCCAGCCAAACAAAAUCUCAAGCCUGGAACCAUCAUCCCAGCAACCAUUUAUUAAAAGCCAUACACCAAGGAUUCGUAUAACACCAUGGAAUCAACCAUCAUCACCCUCUCAAACCUACAUGCCAAAGCUACACAGACUACUCCCAAGUUCCCAAAUAACCAAGCUUCAUAUCUACUAGCUCCAAAACGGUUAAACAAGAUGAAAGAAGGAAAGGAAGAGAUUACUUGAUGAGAGCCUGGUAAAGGCAGAUCUGCAAAAAUUACAAGCCUUGUCCACAUAGCUUUAUUUAUAGCCCCAUGAAAGCAGAAUUACUUCUUCAUUACCAAAUGUCAGUAUAGGCAAUGCCAGACCUCCAUCUUCCCAUGGCUGCCAAGCCCUUUUAUCAAUAUGUGAAGAUGCAAACCAAAAUGGUUAGCCCAUCAUCCAAAGCUAGCUCCUCCUCCUCCUCCUCCUUAUUUACACCUAACAGUUUCCCUGAUUCACAACAAGUUCAAUUUCCUUGCUUAACAUCUUUCAGAUAGAACAGAACAAUUACGAUUACAAUCACAAAAUGUAACACCACCCCACAUCUUCCUCUGUUUAGCUAAGCAUUACAAGACCUCAAAGUUGAUGUUCCAUCAUCAUAAUAGGCAUGGUGUAUUUCCAGUCUCAAACAAGUUAGGUUCCAUCCUAACACCAUAAUGGUGGGUUGUUUUACAUCAGACAACGAAUCUGAGUCAGUUAACAGGCAAAAAGAAACAUUCAAUAGUUCAAGAAGAUGGCUUAGAAUUUUCUGAAAACCUCAAAACUGUUUUCAUUUAUAAUUACAAACCAACCCAAAAGUUGAACAAUAUGAGGCACUGGGCUGAACAAUCACCUCAGAACUCUGGUAAAAAGAAUGAAGGUUUCUAUAGAUAAAAUGGCCUUUGCAAAUAAAGCAAUGAGAAAAACGGGAUAUAAAUUAAGGAAUAAUAGAAUGAAAAUGUUGAAAGGAAUUUCACAUGGCUUCGAAGAAUGAAUAGAUUCCGUACCCUUGCCGAGAAAUUACAUGGCUGCCUUGCCCCUCUGUUGAAGUACUAUAUCAUGCACAACUUCCCCUGCUGAGUUAACAAAGUAGGUUUCCUGCCAUGGAAAAAGAACAUUUGUUGGUGCUUCAACAAGAACAAAUUUAGUCAAAAAAGACAAAUACUCACAAUCUCUAAGGAGCUGACUCUAUGAAGAAGGAACCCAUUAACCAUUCCCCUGAGGAAACAAAGAAAAAAAUCACACAAACUUCAUAGUUUCAUAUGUAUGAACCAAUGUAGAACACCAUGAAGAACUAUGAACAGAAAUACUCACUUACUAAAACCUGAUAUUCCAUUUACAGAAGCAAGAGGAAGUUUUUCAUCUAUUGAACCUGGGUUCCUGAUGUAAGCUAUACUAUCUUUACGAGCAUAGUCACUACAUCCCUCCCCACUCAGGUACACAUCCUGGUGAGCAAAUGCAUGGAUAAAGCGUUACUUUCUUCAUAGGCACCAGAAAGAUUCCAAAUUUAACAUAUCAGAAAGUUGUUCAUUCAAUUCAUUAGGAACUGUCUUAGAUUUUCAUAUAUAUUGAAAAUUUGGACUUUGAUCAUCUCAAAAGCAAGUUCUCUAAAGAACCCAAAAUCAAAACCUUGGGCAUGGGAUGUCUUCACCCAUUGAUACUCAAUGGGAAGAGCCAUAAAUACUUACCACUCCAAACUUAUAAAAAAUAUGGUGUAGAUGCUCAUAAAGUUGUAUUUCUAUUCAUUCCCUGUUUCCUUCACAAACAGCCAAUGAGCAGAAACCAACAACUAUGCGCCUGGAUCAUAAGGAGGAAAAAAGGAGACAAUUAGUACUUGGGAUGGAUAGUUUCUUUAUUAAGUUAAACAUGGAGUUGAAAUGGUAGGGGUGCUUGGCAAUGGCAACAGGACAGCAAACAAUGAAGGUCCAACAUAGUAACCAGAGAAAACAAAAGGAAAACGAAUGUUUUAACUCCACAACAAUUUGGGUUAAGGCAAAAUUUAAAUGAAAACCAAAAUUUUAUUGUUGAAAGAAAGAAAAUUUGUGAAAUAAAAUUAAGUUGAGAAGUAGAUUAUCACGCAUCAGAACCACUCUGAACUGACAUGAUUUUCAAUUUUUUCAAAAUUUUCCAGACAUUACAACCUUGCUUAUUCCUAGGUUCAUGCAAUUAUAAACAGCCAAUAUGGUGCAAUGUCUAGUGUCUUUGUCAGCCCAUGUAAUUGAUCAUUUCCAGCACCAUUUAACGGAUUCAUAAGCAUAAAAUCCUUCAAGUUUCAAAGAGGAGCCCGAUUAAGAGGAAAGAAGAAUGAAAUGCAGCAUAAAGGAGCAGAAACCAAAAAAAAAAGAAACAAAUGGGGGAUAAAAUGUGUGAUAAAUACAUAUAUGGGAUAUUGAUAGUGUAACUAAAUGAAAUAGAUAUCAAAUCAAUCAUAUACACAUAUAAAUACAACAUAGAAAUAAGCAUGGCCAUGGUGAAAAAGGGCUGCAAUGUGGGUUGUAACCAGAGAAUGGAAUAUGGACAAGGAGCAUAAAAAAUGAUUUGGCAGGCCAAGAAAUGGCUAUUUUAAUAUGAUGAAAAAGAAAGAGAACAAAAGAAAUUCAUUAUGAACAUGACUUGAAGAGUACACCUACGCUCAAAUAAUGACCAAGUGAUCAACUUUAAAAUCACAUUCCUAACCUCAGCCCUACCCCUCAUGGAAAAAUGGAAAAAAAAAAAAUUCUUAAAAGGCCUUGAGAGGGGUAAACCUGCUGGGACUCAAACCUGGAACCACCCCACAUCCCCACCCCCAACCCAAGCUACUCGAGCCACACCUCAAGGGUGAUAAAGAUCUAACCUUCAGCAUUGAAUAAAAAAUAAUCUAAAUGUGCAAAAAAUAUCCAGCAUUUUCUCAUGCAUUUUAAUUGCUUACUAGACUAGAUAGAAUCUCCAGUCAUUGAUGAGAACAAAGAACUCAGUGUCUUUAUUAUUAUUAUUGAAUAAAAAAUAAUCUAAAUGUGCAAAAAUAUCCAUUAUUUUCUCAUGCAUUUUAAUUGCUUGCUAGACUAGAUAGAAUCUCCGGUCAUUGGUAAAAUUCAAUAAUUCCAAUUUCCACCAGUUGAUUUGUCAAGUCCCUAAUUAAAUAAUGAAAGAUACAAUACUUGAUGAGUUAUAUACUAAAAUACUUGUGCUUCCCAAUCUAAUUCUAACAAGAACCCUACAAAAUGCACACCUUAAUCCAACUCAACCAACACUCAAUCUUGCGAUUACCUCAUAGUCCACAAGGUACAUCGGAGAGACCUAACUUAUCUUGAUGUUACAAGAUUUCACAUGAACAUCUGAAUACUGGUUUCCAUAAUUCUUUGUUAUCAUACAUCUCCUGGGGCAUGGUAAAGAUGAAUAUAAAAACAAAAUGAAAUCAAUACAAGAAGUUGAUAGCCCCUCUAUGAUCAUAACUGGGGUCAGCACAAUCAGUAACAUAAGAUUCAUGGUGUAGUAUUGAAGUGUAUCAUAAACUCAACACAAGCAUAUGCAAUGUCAAUUAUCAUUAAGUCAACAAUGAUAUUAAACAUUGGUAUAAACAAAUGAAACAAUGACAACACAACAGGAAAAAACCUUAUACAACUAUUAAUCUAUCCUCUUUGGUAGUCUUUUAUCAUCUUCCACAAAUUUCCCAUUUUCCUCCAUAUGCUGCUCAGAAUCCGACCCCAUUUUUUUUGUAUCUUUGUCAACAUUAAAGGAAAUAAAUGCAUGCAACUUUUAAAGAUUUGAGGCCAUGUGAAAAACUUGUCAUUUGAUGUCAAGUUUUUUUUUAUAUGAAAAGGUUUUCCAAAAUGAGAAUUGCAGAACUAUCAAUCUAUCUUCAUCUAGGUUUGGAGCUUCUCAAGUCUUUUAUCAAUUAUCAUCCUCCAUAAAAUUCCAGUUUUCUUCUGUACAUUGCUCAACCUCCAACAUAAUUUUUAAUUUUUUUUCUAAUUAAGAUUAAAUACAUGCAUAUUUUGAAGAUUAAGCCAUGUGGAGAAUUGUCAAUCAAUCGUAAGUUUUUCCUAUAUCAAAUGCAUUUUUUAAAAUUUUCGGCCUUGUUGGAAAAAAGACCUAAUGAGAUGGGUUUGUAUCACAAAACACUAAGGAUUGACUCAAAAGUCCCAAUGAAAUUAUAGCUACUGUAAAAACCAUGUAACCGCUUCCAAACUUAAACCCAUAUUACAAGAGGAUAGUAGAAGAGGCCUCUCUUCCGACUGACAUAAUAACCAUGAGAAGUAUUAGCCAACAAAUCUUAAAUUGAGCAAAUUCAACAAACCAGUUGAUACCUUAAAUGCCCCAGUAUCCAAACCAAUAAUGUCUAAGGUUUUCCCAAAAGGUAUUUUGAUCUGCUUUAGGAAGUAACCUGUUCCCCGUCCUCUUGAAACUCUGGUACUGUACCUACAAGAAUUACAAUUCAGGAUUACCACACAAAGAGACUAAACCAAAAAGACUGUUACAUUAAAAACUACAUCGGAGUCCAAGUUUUGUAACAAUGAAAUUUCAAAAGAUGAGCUACAAAAAUGACACAACUGAUUGCAAAGCGGAUGGCAUACCAGGGAACUUUCAGUGUUGAAAAACGCCAAGUACCCUGUAAAAGAAGAUGUCAUCUUCUAAGAUUGUUCCUAACAGAUGAAACCAAUGAAAUCUAAUUAAACUCAGCACUAAUUUAUUUUCCAAUCACACACCUAUAAAACAAAACAAAAUAAAACUACAGAAAUAAAUAUGAACCACUAUUCCAUUACUUCAACCAAAGCAUGGUUUCUAUUAUUUCAGUUAAAUUCACAAAAAGUUAGGAGAGAAUCAUUUCUACAACUUACCCAGAGUGAAGCAACGCAUAACUUUGAUUAAAUCUGGCUAAACUACAACUAAAGUUUCCAUAUAAAUGGAGUGUAAGCCUAAAGGUGCCACAAGAGAGUUCAUAUAAAAAAUAGUAAAAGGGCUUCCCACAUUGAAUUUACUAGCCAUGGUCUUACAUUGUGUGAGUUGAUCGUCUUCCCCAAGUUCACUAAUGUUUAUCACAAACCUUGCCUUAUAAGUCUUUGCGGCCUUCUCCAUCUUCAUGGGAAAAAACAAUUCCAAUUAGAACAGGGAAGAUAAAAUAUAAACUCAAAAUGCAAUUAAUGUAGUAGACGAUAAUCAUUCAACUAAGAUCAGUAACAGAGGGGGGAAAUAACAAAGCCUAAAAACAGAGAAGGUGGAAGGCAGAAGUAAGUUGGAUGAAUUAGAACCAAGAAGACAAGACAAGAUCAAAACCAACAGAUGAGAAGGCUGACACAAACAAUUGAGAGAGAUCAAAAACUGAACCAUAUAAUAAAAAACUCACUCACAUGAUUAUUCUCUGGCCAAAAGAUAAAGGUUAUGUUAUUAUUUUUUUAUGUUUAGUUUCAAAGUAGAAAAUAAGCGAUAAAAUCAAAUAUAAUUAAAAUUAUUUAAAUUAUAUAUAUUUUUCAAUUAUUUAGUCUAUACAUAGAACAGAAAAAAUAAAUAAAAUGAAUUUGAAAUAAUAUAAAAAAUAAUUUAUUAAAUUUAAUUUAUUUUUAAAUUUUCUUUAUCGCUUUUUCUUUCUUCCUAUUUUUCUUUUCCAUUUUUUUCCCACAUUUUCUCUUAAAUUUUCCACUAAGCAAACAAAGCCAAAGAUCCUCAAGUUGCAUAUACAAUUAAAAACGGAAAAAGAAAGAUCUUCUACUGUUCAACAACUGUCAUAUUAAAAAAAAUAAUAAAAAUAAAAAUUCGAUCCCAGUAAAACCUAACACAAAAUUCUUUCCUCAAAGUUAAAUCAUUCACAUAGAAAUUAACUGAGAAAGAAAUAAUAAACUGUUUGGUUGCUGAGAAAAUGGAGGCAUAGAAAAGGAAAUCAAAAUUUUGAAACUCUAUUAUUUCCAUUAUUCGAAGGCCCGGAAGAAAGAGGGAAAAAACUUCCACUCUUACCUUAAUUUAGGUUGUUUUGUCAAUUUCGAGGGAGGAAAAAACAGGAAAUUAAUUUCAAGCGAUUUCACUUUCAGCAUUCUCAGUAACCAAACGGAGCGUCUGAUAAAACUAUCAUAUCCACCAACAGAGCCAAAACCAAAUAUACCCACCAUCAACAUCUUAAAACAAAAUCCAUAAAGAACGAGAAAAACCCAUGCUUUUCUUCAAUGAACAAAAGGAAUCAAUAGAGAGGAUGAGAAAUAGACCUGUUUGAGAAGAUGGGUCUGCUGAUUAAGAGGUCUAAAUCCUCCUCUAACACUGAUAAAGUAAAGGUCAAGAGGCCUGCUACUGCCACUGCUGCUCUGGGACAUGGGCUUCUCCCAAGGCCGACCCAAGUUGAAUGCACAAGCAGAGAGACAACUGUGUUAUAACAGUGCGAACCCAUGAAGGUUUCCCCAUUGUUAACACAGGUCUCACAGCCUCAGCUCUUCAACUGGUAAUUGAUUUCACUCAUAGAUCUGAAGAUAUAUGAGGAAUGUAACCGUCGACACCCGUAUCUCUAAUUUCCUCAGUGUUAUCAAUUGCUUGAUUAAGAUAUUCGCUAAUGAAGCUCCACUUGG
This 70763-nucleotide long non-coding RNA is filed under the name Vitis vinifera (wine grape). Its description in RNAcentral is "long non-coding RNA (VVIN_LNC003458)". Lineage: Eukaryota; Viridiplantae; Streptophyta; Magnoliopsida; Vitales; Vitaceae. The record is from RNAcentral.